This 52664-nucleotide long non-coding RNA is filed under the name Nicotiana tabacum (common tobacco). Its description in RNAcentral is "long non-coding RNA (NTAB_LNC000115)". The record is from RNAcentral. Lineage: Eukaryota; Viridiplantae; Streptophyta; Magnoliopsida; Solanales; Solanaceae.
AUUGGCAAAUACACAAAAAAUACACCUAAAACCUAGACCUAUAUAAUAGGGCUAACACCUAUCAGUUAAGGGACCAAAAACUACGCCUAAAAACCUAGGGACUCUAAGGAGCUAACGAUCGGCCGCUGGAACCAAACGACAAACCCCAUUGAAGUCCAUCGACUUUUUCAUUCCAACAGCAGUUAUCUCCAUCAACCUUGCACCGAAAAUUCCUCAAUCUCGCCGGAAAUUCGACCACCGUUAACAUACGCACACACUCACGUUUCUCGGACGAAAAAUAAGAAAAAUGCACACACAAGAAUUCUGCUUCCUUUUAAUUUCGAUUUUGGUGUUCCAAAAAUGGAGAUUAAAUUGAGGUUUGAAGUCCGGUUUUGAGGUCAUCACUGUCCAUCGAGGUCCGAUGCGUCGAUGUCAUAUGGCAAGGAAGAAAAUCGAUCUUAGAUCUGCUUUGCCCAAGUAACUCUCAUUUUUUUACUAUUCCUAUACUGUGUUAAUGAUCUCCUUACUGUCUAAUUGUAAUGUAAAUUUUCGUUAAUUAGUUUCUGUAUUGGUUUUUGCAAAUGGAGUUCGAUCUGUGCGUCUUUUCUUUUUCUUGUUGUAUGACUAGUUAACCUCGAAUCUGCUGUCCCGUGCUUCCUCUUCUAUUCGUUACUACGUUCUUAUUCGCUAUUUUGUGUAAAUCCGACCGUUAAAAGUUGACUUAUUUCAUAGUUUUUUAUGAUUGACUUAUUCGUAUCUAGGUGUCGAUUUCGAUCCGCAUUUUUCUGCCUAUUCUUGUAUUGAGUUGCAUCACAAUGCAUUCUCGUAUUUAACUUCACGGAUGUUAUGGAGAAUCUGAUGAACUUGGGAACAAACUUGUUAAUGUGAUGUGGAAGGUACUCCUCGUCUUCUGCUUGAAAUUUAGUGAACACCAUGUGUGCUCAUAUUUAACUUAAUGCACGUCAGGGAGAAUCUGAUGAACUUGUUUACCAAGUAAAGUUGGUUUUCUAUUCGAAAUAGAACGAGGCUCAAGAUUUGGCAUAAUAAGUAUUUGCUAGGACUUGUGCUCAAGAAGAGAAACUCAACGUAUCUGUAUCGCCUAAUUCCGAUCCUAAUGAUUGGGGAAUGCUACCUAUGCAAACUAUGAAUAGUUCUGAUGGUUGAGAUUCUUAUUCUUGGGGUUUUCUUAGUUGAGGCUAAUGAAAUUGAUGCUGUGAUUUUACAAAAAAUGAUGUUAUGUGUUGGUUUGGAAGUAUUUCUAUCAUUGUGGCUAUGGGUACGGUUCCCGUGGCAUGGUCGCGAUACAUAAUUCCAUAUUCGGGUGUGCAUUUCAUGUGACCUGAUUCUAAUUUCCAACGAGGUUGAAUAGAACGUGUCAUGACUCACGGGUGCAUUUCAUGUAGCGUGGCUUGCGACGUGUUUUAAACAACCUUGAAAUAAUUCCUUAAAUAAAUAAAAGUGGUUUUAAAGUUAAAAAUUCACAUAGGUUUAAAAGUAUUUAAAAUCGGAUAAUUAGGCCAAUAAUAAUAGUUGAGUGACCGUGCUAGAACCACGGAACACGGGAAUGCCUAACACCUUCUCCUGAGUUAAUAGAAUUCCUUACCCGGAUUUCUGUGUUCGCGGACUAUAAAACAGAGUCAAUCUUUCCUCGAUUCGGGAUUUGAACCGGUGACUUGGGACACCAUAAUUAUCUCAAGUGGCAACUCUGAUUUUAAAUAAAUAAUUCCGUUUCGAUUGUCACUUAAAUUGGAAAAAUACUCCCUUAUAUAUCCCUCGGGGUGUAAAAAGGAGGUGUGACAUUUGUUUUCUUGUAAAAAAAAUUAAAAAGAUUAAAGACAAGGAUGUUUACUUUCUUGAUGAAAUCAUACCCUUGGCUUAUGUCAAGGUUGUUAUUCUCUAUUUCCUUUUUGUUCCUUUUUCAUGAUUUUAUUUUCAUUAGAUAGCAAGUUGAGAUAUUUAAUGUUGUGCCAAUUAGUGCUCGUUAAAUAUAUAGUAUUGAAGAUUGAGGCACAGUCGAGUCAUGUGUACGGUUAUUUGAAGAUUCAAAUUUAACUUUUCGUGGUAAACAUAAGCUGCUAUAUGAAAAGUUCAAUAAACAUUGGUUUAAAACAACUAACAAAGUUUUCAAGCCUGUAUAAAGUUACUGCACCGAAAAUGUGAUAUUGCUAUGGAGACGUAAGUAAACUAAUGAUAGUAGUGUUUGACCAAAAAGUAUAACUUUCGGUUAAAUCUUUAUAUUUAUAUAAUGAUGGGUUAAACCUAGUUAAUAAUAAUAUUUUUAAACGUAAAACUUAAAAAUAUGAAUAAUAUAGGGUUGACCCAGUGGGGAGUUAAUGACAUUGUGCAUUAAAUAUUCCAAAACUAUGAGCAAUAAUGGAGAAAUAACUAGCAAUAAAUAACAAUAAAUGUGUGACGACCCGACUGGUAGUUUUGAGUAUCUGCACUUCGCUCGGUGUUUUGAGGGCUCGAGUAUCUCCGCAUGAGGUAAUAUGACUUGCGUUAAUCGUCGGCAUUGAUUUUCGAGUUAUCCGGAAUCAAUUUGGAAGAAUGAACUUCGAGAGUUGAGUACUAAGUUGGAAGAGUUGACCAAGUUUGACUUUUAGCAUUUGACCUCGUAAUGGAGUUUCGUCAGUUCCGUUAGCUUCGUUGGGUAAUUUUGGACUUAGGAGCGCGUCCGGAUUGUGAUUGGGAGGUCCGUAGUUGAAUUUGGCUCGAAAUGGCAAAAGUUGGAUUUUUAGGAAGUUUGACCGGGAGUGGACUUUUUGAUAUCGGGGUCGGAUUUCAAUUUCGGAAGUUGAAAUAGGUCCGUAAUGUCAAAAGUGACUUGUGUACGAAAUUUGAGGUCAAUCGGAGGUGAUUUGGUAGGUUUCGGCAUCGGUUGUGGAAGUUGACGUUUCAAAGUUUAUUGAUUUCAACUUGAGGUGUGAUUCAUCAUUUCGAGGUUGUUAUGCGUGAUUUGAAGCUUCGAGUAGAGUCGUCUUAUCAUAUGGAUCUUUUCUGCAAAAUUUGGCGUCAUUCGUAGUUGAUUUGAUAUGGUUUGGACGCCCGGUUGUGAUUCUAGAAGUUCUUGAAGUCUAAUUUGAUUUGCAUGCAUUUUGGCGUCCAAUUCGUGGUUGUAGAAGUUAUUUUGAUGAUUUGAGCGUGCGAGUGAGUUCGGGUUAUGUUUUUACACUUGUGUGCAUAUUUGAUUUGGAGCCCCGAGGGCUCGGGUGAGUUUCAGAUUUUUUUUCGGAAUGUUAUUGCAUAGUUUUUAAUUGCUGGUUCGGGUAUUUUUGCAUUUGCGAGGUUUUGAUCGCAAAUGCGGCCAUCACAUUUCCGAAGAAACUCCGCAUUUUGCGAAGCCUGGGUGACUGGGCAGUUUUCGCAUUUGCGAUGAACCAGCCACAUUUGCGAAGGCUGGUCUUCGCAUUUGCGAAGUUUUCUGUUGCAAAUGCGAUCUCAGCAGGCAUCCUUCAGGUUCGCAAUUGUGAUGUAUUCUUCGCACUUGAGGGUUCGCAAAUAGCAAAUAUCUGCAACCUGAUAAGUGUUGAGAAUUCUGAGUUUUUACUUCAUUUUUCACAUUUUUGAACCCUAGCUUCGAGGCGAGGCGAUUUUGAGAGGGGAUUUUCAUACCAAAUCAUUGGGUAAGUAUCUUUAAUCAAUUUCCAACUAUAUUUCAUAAUUUUCUACAAGAUUUAACAUCAAAUUCAUGGGAAAUCUAUGGAAAAAUUUGGAGAUUUUGUCAAAGUUUUGAAAAAUAAAAAUUUGAGAUUUAAGAGUUGAAUAAGAUUCAGAUUUUAAAAUAAAACACAUAUUUGGACUCGUGAGGCUAUGGGUAGUCAAGACCUACCCUUGGACCCGGGUUUUGACCGGGCGGGCUCGUGGUUUGACUUUUGUUGACUUAUUAAAAAUUGAAUGGAAAUCAUAGCUUUAUUAAUUGGAAUUGUUUUCUCUUGCAUUGUGUGGUGUAUUCAAGUCGUCAUUGGUUAGAUUGAGUUUAGCGGAGGCGAAUUUAUAGAGGAAAAGGCUAAGUUGGGUGUUGAGUUAGCCGAAUCGAGGUAAAUAUUUUGCCUAACUUUGUUGAGGGAAUUUUUCCUCCUAUUUGUCAUUGUUUGCUACAUGCGGGGGUGAUACAUAUAUGAGGUGACGAGCGUAUAUAUAUGUGACAGGGUUAAUCAUGCGUGGGGGGUGGAUUAUGUUAUAUUUGUGUUUGUAGAAUUUUGUGACACUCUGCUUAAUGCCUUAUUUGAUUCUUAGAUAGUAAGGGCAUAAUAUUAAAUGAUAAAUAUCAAGAUUUAGUUUGUUAUAACUUGAUCGAACUUGAUGGAAAUUAUAAGAAUACAUUGAUGUGUCUAAUUCAGUCAUCUCUAUGUGAAAUUAUUACUACAUUACUACAACCGAUAUUCUUGGGAUGUUAGACUAUAUACUUGUGUUGUGGAUCAUUUAUGAGACACAUAGAAAUAUUUGAAUAAUAUGGUUCUUGAGAGUUGUUUAAUCAUUGUUGACUUGGAAAGUUGUGAUUGGGAAUUGUCUGGAUUAUCCAUUAAAACACUCUCCUUGAUGUCAAUUAUACUUCCUGCCUUGUUUGUUACUGUUAUUUAUAUGCUUGGUAAGGAAGAGUGUAAAGCACGAAGGGUGAUACCGUGCCAUUAUUUAUACAUUAUCAUAUGAGGGAGAGUGUAAAGCACGAAGGGUGAUGUCGUGCCAUAUCAUUUGAGAGUAAAAGCAUGAAGGGUGAUGUCGUGCCAUAUUAUUGAGAGUAAAACCACAGAGGGUGAUGUCGUGCCAUAUUAUUGAGAGUAAAAGCACGAAGGUUGAUGCCAUGCCAUAUCAUUUGAGAGUAAAAACAUGAAUAAUGAUGCCGUGCCAUUUCAUUUAUGUUAUUAUGCUUGUAUGUUAUUGUGAGGUUAUGGCACAAAGGGUGUUUCCGUGCAGGUGAGGACGAGGGACAUGCAUUAUGAUGUGAUAUCCGUUUCCCCGUGUAUAUGUUUGUGCCUUUACUUUGAGCUGUUAUUGUUGUGAUUACAUAUUUUGUGUGACUUGUUGUUAUUGUCAUGUAUUUGACCUUUAUCUCAAUUGUUGUUGCACUAUCCAUGUCUUUUUCUUGCUUAAUUUGCGAACACUGUGCCUAUUUCCUACUUUUACAUUUAUACUCAUGUUGUAUCUAUUUUGUUGCACUUUAGAUUAAGCCUUCCACCAUGCUAGCCAUUCAUGCCUUUACUUGUCAACUUGUAAAGAUCAAGUGUUUCCUUCUUAAUUAUUAUAUUUGCACAAAGGCCUCCAAUAUGCUAGUUAAUUGAAGUUGAUAUUCCUUGUUUUUCGAUUGUUGAUAUUACUCACGUGCUUUCCGUUUAGCCCUUUUACUAUGACCCACAUGUGUAUCCUUGUCCUUUGUUGUUACUUGCAUAUUUCCUACUUUGUAAUUCCUAUUAUUGUGUUCAUGUUAUAUGGUUGGUUUUGUUAUACGUUUAUCUGGAAAGAUGAGUUGAUCGCACGAAGGAUAUUGUCGUGCUAAUUGAAUUAUUACAUAAACUUAUUAAUACAUGGUGAGAAGGAGAUAAAAGCACGAAAGGUGUUACCGUGCCAUAUGAUUUGACAUUUUGACAUUUUGGGCAUGCAUCUCAUACCAGGAAAUACCAUAAAUAUCCCUCUGUGGUUCCUAUUAGUAGUUAUUGACUGUCUUGCCGAGUUGUUUAUGAUACUUUUAUCUGUUAUGUUUUGAACUGCUUUACAGUUAAUCCAUUGUACAAGUUAUAUUAAUAAGCAUCUUUUUAACUAAAAGCCUCAUCACUACUUCGACGUGGUUAGAUAAAGUACAUGGAGUCGGUUGUACUGAUACUGCACUUUUGCACGUUUCAUGUAGAUUUUCGGAGUAGAGCUGCUGGUGACGUCGGGUGCUGAUUCAGAAAAUGUUCGUGCAUUUGGUUGAAGCUGCCACUUUUCCUUGGUAGUUUUUGACAUUUUUAAUCUAUUUUUGUAAUUUUCAAACAGAUCGUGGGAUAAUUUGUACUAGCUUUGUAAAUCCUAAAUUCUAGAUGCUCCUGACUUUUAAUACCAGUUCUUAGGUAAGUUUGUAAAAGUUCUGAUAAAUCCUAACUUCAUUUUUAUACAAGUUAUUUGGUUUGUUUCUUAUGUUAAUUGGCUUACCUAACGGGUCAAGUUAGGUGCCAUCAUGACCUGUGAUUUUGGGUUGUGAUAAGGUGGUAUCAGAGUACUAGGUUCGUAGGUUCUACGAGUCAUGAACAAGUGUCUAGUAGAUUCCUGUGGAUCGGUAUGAUGACGUCCAUACCUAUCAUCGGGAGGCUAUAGGGCAUUUAAGAAAAAAUUUCCCUUCCUUCUUUUCUUAUCGUGCGGCUUUUCUUUUGCUUGAAAUCUACAACUUUGACUUUUCCCGAUCACUCAUAUAUGAUGUUGUGCGCUUGAUAUUCGCUAUAUGCUAACGAUCGGUGAUGCUGUAGAUGGAUUACAAUGGUCUAUGGGUGCUUGAUUAUCAACGCAAUGCGUUUUCCAGCCUCAGAAGCAAAUGUAAUGUUAAAUCUUCUAGUCAUUCGUUUGUGGUAGGAGGCAGGUUCAUAUGUCUGGUUGGUAAGCACAAAUUUGGAAAGAUUGGUUGGUGGCCAGGCUAUUGUGAUUAAGGUGAGUUCAUGGUAAGGAAUCGAUUUGAGUAUAACCGAUGGGACAUCUCUUACAUGAUGAGUUUGGAUCGUGCGGCUUGUAUGAGGUUUCCAUUUGGUGGAGUGCAUAUGUUAUCAUUUCAGAGCAUUUGGGAAAGUUGGUGACUAUUGCAAUGAUGGGCAAGCGUUUGGCAGAAUCUUCAGGGUGUUCUAUGGCUUCAAGCUAAGUGGCCGAGGCUGCUAAUGACGAUCGGAUUGUAGGAUCAUGGGCCGUAUCAGUUUCCAAACCGAGAGCUUUCAUGUUUAUUUCUUUGAAUGGGCAUAUGCUGGUGAAGCAUGGGUUGCUCAACGCGUAUUAGCUGCGCAUUGAAGAUCAGAAUAAGAUGAGUGGAUUUAAGGACUUUUGAAUUUGUCUACGGAGCAGUGAAUGGUAAUCAGAUUCACGGUAUUUCCUUGUCAAGAAAGUUCUACAAGUCAAUAUUGGGGUGAUGCAAGAAAUGGCUUCGGGUUCCCAGGAAGUUCCCUUAGGGCGGGCAUAUUGGAUUGAGUUUCUUUCGGGUUGGCAGUCUGCGUAACUUAGUUGAGGUAGAGGUGAUUGGUUCUUAUUCCUCGAUUAUGUGUUAAUGAGUUCCGAAGAAUUUACGAUGGUUAUGACCAUGGACGGGGUUGAUGUUUUCUACAGGUAUAGAGGCUAUAUUGCUUGUGGUGGUGUUUUCCUAGAUUGGGCUAAAUGAAAGAUUCCCGGUUGAUGAGGUGUUCAAUUUUCUUAUGGUUUAGAGUUGGCUAUAAGAUUUUUGUAGUGUUGCGAGUUAGCAUGUUAGAGACGAUGUGCCAUAUGGGGAAUGAGAAGUUACAUGUGCAAGGUUGCCGUUUAGGUUUGGAGGGAAGGAUACGAGUUCUUGAUAUCUCAGACAACUUCGGGUGUUUGAGGUCUUGUUGGCACUAUGGGUUCCCUCGAAGUAGAGUUCGCCUAUUGGAGGAUACAAUGUAUUUUGACUUAUGGGUGUUUCUUCGUGAGAUGAUGAAGUAUGAAUUACACGACAGCUAUUUGAGUAGCGGUGUUGAUAUUGGGUGUUACACCUCCUUUUUCCUACCCACCCGUAAGGGAUAUAAAGGAGUUUUUCCAAUUAAAGGACAAUCGAAACGGGAUUGUUUAUUAAGAAAUUUAGAGUCGCCACUUGGGAUAAUUUAUGGCAUCCCAAGUCACCGGUUUAAAUCCCGAAUCGAGGAAAGAUUGACUCUGUUUAACAGUCUGCGAACCAGAAAUCCGGGUAAGGAAUUUUGUUAACCCCGGAGAAGGUGUUAGGCAUUCCCGAGUUCCGUGGUUCUAGCACGGUCGCUCAACUGUUAUAUUCGGCUUAAUUAUCUGAUUUUAAAAUAUUUUUGAACCUAUGUGCAAAUUUUAACUUUUAACCGCUUUUAUUCAUUUUAAAGAAGAUUUAACGUCGUUUAAAACAUGUCUUUGGAUUGUGCCACAUGAAAUGUACCCGCAAUCCGUAACACAUUUUAUUUAACGUUGCGAGAUUUAGAGUUGGAUCACAUGAAAUGCACACCCGAGUUUAGGAAAGUAAUAUUAUUGAAUAUACGCGCCUAGAGCAACUACGCGUUUUUAACUUUGUAAGGGCCAUGGAAAUUUCCUAAAUGGCACGCCUCGAAUUCUAAGUAUUUUAAAAGAAACAAUUAAGCGAGGGCCACGCAUUUGAGAUUUUAUGUUUGGCAUGGCGCACCUCAAUUUAUUCUAAUUAGAGCGUUGCUAAACUAAUACAUGAGGACCAUAAGUUGUUAUUGGUUUUGAAUGACACACCUCGAUUAUUUUACAAGGAGUUAACUAAAUUAAACCACAUGGAACAAUUAUAAUUACGAGUACGAAAAUUUCAAACUCAAUGCCUAGAACUUGUAUGUUGACAAUUUGUGACAACAGAUUGAAUUCAUAAAACCAAACCCAAGUGGGUUAUGGACUCAUAACCUACCUAAAUGUCAAUAAGCAAGAAAAUCAAAAUAGGCUUAAACGUAAAUCCCCGAAACUGCAAUGUACCCAGUAGAGGAAGUUCGACAAAACUGGGCCAAUCCUGUAACCUAGUCCGAAACUGUGAGCAUUAGUUGCUACAAGAGAUCCAUGUUGAAAAAUGCAAACUUAACAACCCAAGUAUUACCAAUUUACAACUCAUUUCAUCAUUUUAAACCAAAAUAAGUUUCUGAUAUGUUCCCUCCAACUGCUGGAUUCUGAUUUCAUGCCAACAGGCCAAAAUUCAGAUUCACAUUCCAUUCACGAUUUUAUUAAACUUCCAAGAUUGCUUAUGCGUAAAAAAAUAGCAGGCUUACGUGAGAAAACCAAAACAUUGGACUAUACUUCAAAUCAUUUGCAAGAAAAUCUAAAGGAAUGAUUAAGAGGGAGAUAACAUUAAACCAAACUGCUGAGCCUAUAACACAAGCAAACCAAACUAGUAGCGUCCCAUUAUACAUGUUAGGCUAGAAUAAAAUUUUGAAUAAGUCAUAGUCAAAGGAGACCUCAGCUCCAGCCUUAGAACAACAGAUGAUACCCAACGACUACACCUAAGAAGCGAAACUAUAAUGGACACUAAACUAAAGCACGGUAAGGUCACAUAGCUAAGAAAUAACAAGGAAUUAGCACUUUGACAAUUUCUUCAACUUGAAUUAAAUAACUCGAACCACAGCUUAGCUAAAACUUCAUUUCCAUUCAUGGUGUGAAGAAAGUACAUGGAUACAUCAAUCAAAACAGAAGGAAAGGAAAUGGUUAAGGCUCAGAACUGCAGUCUACAGCAACAAUGCAACAAUGAAACCCAAUUGCAAACCUAGGUGAUGCACAAUAUCCCAAAAACAACUUCAAUUGAACAGAGACCCAACAAAACUCAAAACCAAACUUUUACAAACCCAGAAUCAAUCCAUUUUUAAACCCCCAAGUGAAUCAUAAGUUGCAUCAGAAAUUGAAAAUCUUAAGAACACCAAAAAAAAUCAAUAGAACAAUGAUUUCAUCUAGUUUUAGCCGUCUGUUGUUUUUUCAAAAUUCUCUAUCUCUAAUCUCUCUAAAAUCAAACAAUUUUAGCCCCCAAAUAAAUCAAUAUGUAUUUCAGAAGUUGAAAAUCUAAGAAAUCACAAAGAAGCACUCAAUGAAACAGUGAAAUUUUUGUGGAAUUCUUAGCUGUUUCAGAAAUUUCUAUUCUCCCCCCCUCUCCAUAAUUUUCAGCCUUUAAAUAGACAUUCAAUUUGUGUCAUUCCCAUUAUCAAAUCACCUUUUCCAUUCUUAAUUAUCCACUUAACUUAAUGCUUUUUACUUUAAUCAGUAGUGUAUUUUCAAACCCUAGCACUUAUUAGAAGCUUCCUAAAUUAGGUGAGAUUCACUUCAAACUACCCAUACAUUACCCCUUAAACUUCCGUUAAUUACUUUCAAGAAACCAGACGGAUAUGGGUCAAUCUUGACCCAAAACCUAUCAGGACUUUGAUGUGGGAUCAAGAAUGGCCUGAAGGCCCAAACAAUCAAACUAAUCCAGGCUAAAUUAAGUGUUUUUACAAAAAGAAGAAGAAAACAAUCAUUUGAAGGGUUUGAAAACUAAAACUAUCUAUAAGACUGAUUAACAACAUACAAACAUGAACUAAAAUCAAACAGACAAUUAAUAAUUUCAAAUAAAACCUAAUUCACAUCUUAACUAAGUUGUUCAAAGACAAAGAAGAGAAGAAGAAGAGGCAGAGGUGGAAUAUGCAUUAAAAUAAAAAGAAAUGAUACCGGGAAACUCACCGACUAAGCUGGAAAUCAACUUGGUACCCUGACUUUACGAUUUCAUCGCCAAAUAAUGUUAGUCACUUUUUCUUUGUCAAAACAAGUGAGUAACAUUAUUUUGUUACAAAACCAGCUCUAAAACUGGAACCAUCAUCAUCAACCUCGAGUUUUUGAUUUGGCUCUUGGAACCCGAAUUUGGGAUUUAAAAUUCGAGGGGUUUAGAACAGAUUUGAGGGAAUAUACUUGGAGAUUAGGGAGGAGGGAGGCAUGGGGAUUCCCUGGUGUUAAUUUGGGAUUGAUUGGAAGUAGCACCGCCACCGGAGAAUAUUAGGGCGACACUAGGGUUUAUCCUUUCGAAUCGAUAUUCGAAGACCUCCAGGGAUGUUCUAAAGAAAAGAAGUAGGGGUUUGGAAAUGUGAGGGUGAGAGGAGUCUAUGGUGUAUUUUUGGGGGUGAUUGGCCAUCGUCCGCCGCCGUGGACGAUUUUCGGCGGCGGAAAGCGGCAGAGUGAGGCAGUGAUUUGUUGGUCUCUGAAGAGAGACGAGAGAGAGGAGGGGGAGUGUUCUGAGGGUAGGGUCUAAUGGGUUAGGGUAUACUAAAGGGGUAAUUAAAUUAGGGCCGUUGGAUGAUGAGAAUCCAACGGCCAUGAUUGAUCUUUUAACGAAACGGGGUUGUUUGGUGUAGCAACUGGGGCGGACCGGGCAUUGGGUGGACGAGUCGGGUUGGGUAUUGGGUGAAGGCUUUUGGACCGUUCGAUCAAAUUAAUUCAAAGGCCCAGAUUGAGACGCCUGGAACAGCAUCAUUUGGUUUGAAGCUGGAGACGAACCGGGUUGGGGAAAAGUCUAGGCCGGUUUUUGGGGUGGGUUUUAGGUGUAUUUGUUCUAUUUUAUUUUGGGCUGGGGAUUUUUUGCCCAAUUCUAUUUUACCCUCUUCUAUUUAAUUCUUUUCCUCUUCUAUUUAUUUCCCAAACUAGUUUUUCAAAAUAAAAAAUAAAAUCCUAAAUUAAAUUAUAAACCCAAAUUAGCUUUAAACAUAUUAAUUAACUCUAAAUAAUAAUUAUCAUAAAUAAUUAAAUACUAAAUUAAAAGAAAUAUCAAAAAAUACAAAAAAAAUAUGUUAUUUUUUGUGAAUUUUUUCAUUUUUGUAAAUCACCUAAUUAUUAAUUAAUUCCAAAAUGUCAAACUAAAUCCUAAAUGCAAUUACAAUAUAUAUUUUUUGUAUUUUUCAUUACUAAAUAAAAUAAACAGGCACAGACAAUAUUCACACAAUGACAGAAAAUGCCACUAAAAUCCACAAAAAUCGCAAAUAAUGAAAAAAUUAUUUUGUUUUGAAUUUUCUGGGAGUAAUUCAUAUAGGGCAAAAAUCACGUGCUCACAGCUGCCCCUCUUUGCUCGGAAACAUGAAGAAUUUUUGUGCAAAAAUAAAGUGAGCGGAUACGAGCGAUUUUUGCCCGUUUGAAUACUCUGUGGAAAGCAUUUUUGAAAGAUUUGACCGAACCUAUGCUUCAAAGGUUUCCUACAUAUCAUUGGCUAUAAAGGAAUCAGGUCAAUGUAGUUCGGGAAGUUUUGGUAGCUGGGACUACCAUGAAGCUGUGGUUUCACUGUUGUUGUUGCUGCUGUUACUACUUAUUGAUCUCCUUAUUACACCAUGACAAAAUAAAGAAGCUAGACUAAGCUUAUAAUAUAUGCUUUACAAAGAUUUAUUUUCAAACUUGGUCUUUGUGACUGUUGUUGCCUUCGUUGACUUGUAUUGCCCUAUAGAAGUUCCUUUGUUGCUGACUUAAAGUGUAUUUGUGAGAUGCUUUCCCUUUCCUCCAGGCAGGCACCUCGUUGCUGAGCCUUUAAACGUCUUCCUUUGACCAUUGUUGCCUAUCUUCUGUUCUCCAGGCGGGCUCCUGAUUACUUGAACUUGAAUUGCUUCUUCCCUUCGUUCUCCAGGCGGGUUCCUGAUUACUUGAAAUUUGAAUUGUAUUCCCUUGCUCUCCAAGUGAGUGCCUGAUUGCCGAAACUUGAGGUGUACUCCCUUGCUCUCCAGGUGGGCGCCUGAUUGCUGAAGCUUGAAUUGCAUUCCCUUGUUCUUCAGGUGGGCUCCUGACUACCGGGUCUUUAACUGCUUUUCCUUGUUCUCCAGGUGGACGCCUGAUUGCUGAUACUUUAACUGUUGUUCCUUGUUCUCCAGGUGGACGCCUGAUUGCUGAUAUUUCAACCGUUAUUCCUUGUUCUUCAGGUGGAUGCCUGAUUGAUGAUAUUUCAACUGUCUUUCCUUGUUCUCCAGGUGGAUGCCUGAUUGCUGAAUCUUUAACUGCUUUUCCUUGUUCUCCAGGUGGAUGCCUGAUUUCUGAAAUUUGAAUCAUCUUCUUCUUGCAACUGCCUUUCUUUGACUUGUUCUCCCUUGUUCCUCUAGGUGGGCGUCUGAUUACCAAUACUUGUGCUAAUCUUUCUUGAAACUUGAUUUGUUUUCCCUUGUUCUCCAGGUGGGCCCCUGAUUACUUGGUCAUGCUCUGCUUUUUAUCAUUAAUAUCUGUGUUGUUCUUCCUUGUUCUUCAGAUGGGCAUCUGACUUCAGCAAAAUAGACAACAAAAGAAAAUUUCCUGCCCUAGUUUGGUAACCGGGCGCAUCUGUGAGUGUUAAUUGAAUCCUUUUACCAAAUAUCUAUAGCAAUCUGCAAGCUAUAUCCCAUUAUCCAGGAGGGUCCUUAAAAUCUCUAGUAAAUUUCCAAAGCUACAUUAUAUUUUUUAGAGGUAUGACUUCCGUCGAAUCUUGUUAUCUAAGACAGUCUUAAAGCUACAUCCCAUUAUCCAGGAGGGUUCUAAAAUUUCGAAUUAAACCUUAUCUUACGGAUGACAAUUUCAACGCUAAACUGUACUCUCUUAUAACAACACUUACUUAUCUAAUGGAAUGCUUAAAGUUACGUCCCAUUAUUCAGGUGGGUCCUGAAAACUCUUAUGCGAACUUUGAAGCCAACUUAUAUUCCUUUUGGUGCAUAUUUGUCCUAUAUUUACUACUUAUGAUUGUUUUGGAUUUUAACCUAGGUCCCAUUUUCCAGGAGUGUCCUGAAUUUUCGAAUUGAGUCUUGUCUUAAAAAAAUGAAAAAGUCAAACCAACUUAUAUUUUCACAAAGUAGAGCUUAUGCUAGAUAUUGUACUCAUGAAUAUUUCUAAUUAAAGCUAAGUCCCAUUAUCCAGGAGGGUCCUGAGAACUCCUAAUUGAAUCCUAUCUUAAAUAUGCAAACUUUGAAACCAACUUAUAUUCCUUUGGGGUACAUUUAUGCUAGAUUUUGCUAUUUACAAUUGUUUCUAUUUUUAAACUAGGUCCCAUUUUCCAGGAGGGUCCUGAGAAUUCUACAAUCAAACCUGCCUGGUACUUGUUCUCCUUAUGGAUGAUUUCCUAAAACAAAUGCCAUCUUUGCCUCUAUUUCAAAUCAAAUAAAAUCUUGUCAGUUUAAAACGUGGUGGUUCGUUGUGGCAUUCUUGCUGGGGAUGGUUUUCUCUUUGCCAUGCUUUGCUUCGACCGACUGCCUCGAACUGGUCAAAAGAUUGUUUUGACCUUCUGACUGAUCCUUAACUGCAGGAUCCCCCAAUUGUUGUUAUCCACUUCCGACCUUUCUGCCUGAACCCAUACAUCUCCCACGACAUUACUGAACCAUUCCACCGGUAUAACUUUUGCUUACACCCUAUGUCCCAAAUUUCAUCAUAUCAUCUCCGGCAUGUUCUAGCCGUAUUUUGCUUUGUGCAAUUUCGAAACUGGUAGUAAACUCUGAAAUUCCUUUUUACAAGGCUAACCUUGGAAGAGCUUUAGAGGAGUAAAAUUAACAACAAUGAAAUGCGUUGAUUUUGGGAAUUAAGAAUAAAGAAGAAAAAUCCAAAUUUGGAUGACUGUUGGAGAUAGGAAAAGAAACUUAUCUGAGGGGAGUCACUGGAACCGAUGAUCAUGGUAUGCAUUUUGGAUUAAUCAGCUCAGUCUAUUUAACCAAUCUCCUUUCCAAUUGUUUUACUUUGUACUCCAAGAUUUCCACAACUCAAUUUACUUUCCGCCAACUUACGGACCUUGUUCGACUUGCAGUGCCCUGAAGGGUUUUCACCGACAAACCUCUAUCAUUUGUUCAUUCCUCGAUUCCCUGUCGCCUCAUGGUGCCCACGAAGGUUUUCACCGAUAAGACUCUCUCAUUUUUUCUUUCUCUCAGCUUUCGUCGCCUCAUGGUGCCCAUGAGGGUUUUUACCAAUAAGACUCUCUCAUUUUUUGAUUUCUCUUGCUUAAACCGGAGUGUUGCCCCUGAUAUGAAUUCUCUUUACUUGUUUGAUUUGGCAUCUCUCAAAAACUGAUUGGGAAGUCUUUCUUUGGACAGUCAUGUGGGUUCUUGGAUAUGUUUGGAAAGAAAAGGGUAUUGAAAAGGCUCCAAGCAUCUCAAAUAGGUUAGAAUUACAACUUUUGGAAUGAGAUUUCUUAUCACAAUCACAAAUUAUGCCCCAGUUUUUUGCUUGGGGAUCUUUUGAUAUUUUAUUUUACUAUGGCCGAGUCGUGAGGCUGCCUACGUAUCCUUAGCAGGAAUCAGGUCAAACGUAGUUCACACCCGAAUUUUUUUGUUUUCUUGUACUUUCUUUUUUUUUCUUUCUUUUCUUUCUUUNNNNNNNNNNNNNNNNNNNNNNNNNNNNNNNNNNNNNNNNNNNNNNNNNNNNNNNNNNNNNNNNNNNNNNNNNNNNNNNNNNNNNNNNNNNNNNNNNNNNNNNNNNNNNNNNNNNNNNNNNNNNNNNNNNNNNNNNNNNNNNNNNNNNNNNNNNNNNNNNNNNNNNNNNNNNNNNNNNNNNNNNNNNNNNNNNNNNNNNNNNNNNNNNNNNNNNNNNNNNNNNNNNNNNNNNNNNNNNNNNNNNNNNNNNNNNNNNNNNNNNNNNNNNNNNNNNNNNNNNNNNNNNNNNNNNNNNNNNNNNNNNNNNNNNNNNNNNNNNNNNNNNNNNNNNNNNNNNNNNNNNNNNNNNNNNNNNNNNNNNNNNNNNNNNNNNNNNNNNNNNNNNNNNNNNNNNNNNNNNNNNNNNNNNNNNNNNNNNNNNNNNNNNNNNNNNNNNNNNNNNNNNNNNNNNNNNNNNNNNNNNNNNNNNNNNNNNNNNNNNNNNNNNNNNNNNNNNNNNNNNNNNNNNNNNNNNNNNNNNNNNNNNNNNNNNNNNNNNNNNNNNNNNNNNNNNNNNNNNNNNNNNNNNNNNNNNNNNNNNNNNNNNNNNNNNNNNNNNNNNNNNNNNNNNNNNNNNNNNNNNNNNNNNNNNNNNNNNNNNNNNNNNNNNNNNNNNNNNNNNNNNNNNNNNNNNNNNNNNNNNNNNNNNNNNNNNNNNNNNNNNNNNNNNNNNNNNNNNNNNNNNNNNNNNNNNNNNNNNNNNNNNNNNNNNNNNNNNNNNNNNNNNNNNNNNNNNNNNNNNNNNNNNNNNNNNNNNNNNNNNNNNNNNNNNNNNNNNNNNNNNNNNNNNNNNNNNNNNNNNNNNNNNNNNNNNNNNNNNNNNNNNNNNNNNNNNNNNNNNNNNNNNNNNNNNNNNNNNNNNNNNNNNNNNNNNNNNNNNNNNNNNNNNNNNNNNNNNNNNNNNNNNNNNNNNNNNNNNNNNNNNNNNNNNNNNNNNNNNNNNNNNNNNNNNNNNNNNNNNNNNNNNNNNNNNNNNNNNNNNNNNNNNNNNNNNNNNNNNNNNNNNNNNNNNNNNNNNNNNNNNNNNNNNNNNNNNNNNNNNNNNNNNNNNNNNNNNNNNNNNNNNNNNNNNNNNNNNNNNNNNNNNNNNNNNNNNNNNNNNNNNNNNNNNNNNNNNNNNNNNNNNNNNNNNNNNNNNNNNNNNNNNNNNNNNNNNNNNNNNNNNNNNNNNNNNNNNNNNNNNNNNNNNNNNNNNNNNNNNNNNNNNNNNNNNNNNNNNNNNNNNNNNNNNNNNNNNNNNNNNNNNNNNNNNNNNNNNNNNNNNNNNNNNNNNNNNNNNNNNNNNNNNNNNNNNNNNNNNNNNNNNNNNNNNNNNNNNNNNNNNNNNNNNNNNNNNNNNNNNNNNNNNNNNNNNNNNNNNNNNNNNNNNNNNNNNNNNNNNNNNNNNNNNNNNNNNNNNNNNNNNNNNNNNNNNNNNNNNNNNNNNNNNNNNNNNNNNNNNNNNNNNNNNNNNNNNNNNNNNNNNNNNNNNNNNNNNNNNNNNNNNNNNNNNNNNNNNNNNNNNNNNNNNNNNNNNNNNNNNNNNNNNNNNNNNNNNNNNNNNNNNNNNNNNNNNNNNNNNNNNNNNNNNNNNNNNNNNNNNNNNNNNNNNNNNNNNNNNNNNNNNNNNNNNNNNNNNNNNNNNNNNNNNNNNNNNNNNNNNNNNNNNNNNNNNNNNNNNNNNNNNNNNNNNNNNNNNNNNNNNNNNNNNNNNNNNNNNNNNNNNNNNNNNNNNNNNNNNNNNNNNNNNNNNNNNNNNNNNNNNNNNNNNNNNNNNNNNNNNNNNNNNNNNNNNNNNNNNNNNNNNNNNNNNNNNNNNNNNNNNNNNNNNNNNNNNNNNNNNNNNNNNNNAGCUGAGCCAUAACAAGAUAAUGCUGCCCUAUUUCAGAAAUAAGCACAGCCCCUAUUCCAACUCCUUUUAUGUUGACAGCCCCGUCAAAGAAAAGUUUCCAACCUGGUUUCUCAAUCUGCUGUAGUUCGUCGAUAUGCAUCACCUCUUCAUUGGGAAAAUAAGUUUUCAAUGGCUCGUACUCAUCAUCGAUCGGGUUUUUGGCCAAAUGAUCGACCAAUGCUUGGGCUUUCAUCGCAGUCCUAGUCACAUAGAUGAUGUCAAACUCUGUGAGCAAAAUCUGCCACUUCGCAAGUCUUCCUGUCGGCAUAGGCUUUUGAAUGAUAUACUUCAACGGAUCCAAGCGCGAAAUAAGGUAAGUAGUGUAGGAUGACAAAUAAUGUUUCAAUUUCUGAGCCACCCAAGUUAGGGCGCAACAUGUCCUUUCCAGGUGAGUGUACUUAACCUCAUAAGAUGUGAACUUCUUUCUAAGAUAGUAGAUGGCCUGUUCCUUUCUGCUGGUGAUGUCAUAUUGCCCCAGUACACAGCCAAAUGAGUUUUUCAGGACUUUCAAGUAAAGAAUCAAAGGUCUCCUUGGUUCUGGCGGGACCAACAUAGGUGGGUUUGACAAGUAUCCUUUUAUAUUAUCCAAUGCUUCUUGACACUCAUCAGUCCACUUGAUCCGCAACAUCCUUCUUCAGCAAUUUGAAAAUAGGCUCACAAGUUGUCGUGAGCUGAGCAAUAAACCUGCUGAUAUAGUUCAACCUCCCUAACAGACUCAUCACUUCAGUCUUGUUCCUUAGGGGUGGCAAUUCUUGGAUAGCUUUGAUCUUUGAUGGGUCCAACUCAAUGCCUCGAUAGCUGACUAUGAAUCCCAACAAUUUUCCGGAUGGAACACCAUAUGCGCACUUGGUAGGGUUUAGUUUGAGGUUGUACCUGCGAAGCCUCUGGAAAAAUUUCCUCAAGUCUCUGACGUGGUCGGCCUGCUGCUUUGACUUUAUGAUUACAUCAUCUAUGUACACCUCAAUCUCCUUGUGUAUCAUAUCAUGGAACACAGUAGUCAUUGCCCUCAUGUAAGUUGCCCCAGCAUUUUUCAAACCAAAUGGCAUUACUCGGUAAUAAUAAGUUCCCCAUGGUGUGAUGAAUGCCGUCUUUCCGCAUCUUCUUCAUCCAUUAAAAUCUGAUGAUACCCUACAUAGAAAUCCACAAAAGAUCCAAUCUCACGCUUGGUGCAAUUAUCGAUCAAAAUGUGGAUGUUGGGUAGUGGGAAAUUAUCCUUUGAACUUGCUUUUUUGAGAUUGCGGUAAUCAACGCAUAUUCUGAUCUUGAUGUCCUUCUUUGGUACUAGCACAACAUUAGCUAACCAAACGGGAUAUCGUGUGACCCGAAUGACCUUUGUAUCCAACUGCUUAGUGAUUUAUUCCUUAAUAUUCACACUCAUAUCAGUUUUGAACUUUCUCAAUUUUUGCUUGACGGGAGGGAAUGUCGGGUCAAUGGGUAACUUGUGGACCACCAAAUCAGUGCUCAAACCUGGCAUGUCAUCGUAUGACCAUGAAAAAAUAUCUUUGUAUUCAAUCAGUACUUUGAUUAUCUCUUCCCUGAUCUUUGGUUCAAGGUGGACGCUUAUUUUAGUCUCUCUGAUAUUAUAUGCGUCCCCUAAAUUGAUGGCUUCUGUAUCAUAUAGGUUGGGUUUGGGUUUUCCUUCAAAGUGAUUUAAUUCCUUACUAAUCUCUUCAAAAACCCCAUCCUCAUCAUAUUCUGAUUCGUCAUCACACUCUACUUCUUGAAUUAUUAUUUCAAAAUCAUAUUGAUGUUUAAGACUGGGCUGAGGAUUCCGCAUGCAUGCCAUGUCAUUAGAACCAGCGUAAAAAGAACUGUAUAGAAAAGAAAAGAAAAACAAAACGGAAAACUAUUAGGAAUGAUGAAGAAAUGGAAAUUGCAUUUCAUUGAAUGAUAAAAGAUAACAAGGUUUGCACACUCAAACAGACUGAAAGAUAAUAAUUUGGAUUACAACCCUGGAAUAACCCAGAUAAACUGAAAGAAAAAUCAAAGCCCACUACCAAAGCUCCUUCCGAGUAGGAAGAGGAGUAGCUUCCCAAUUACUAAUCUUUGCACUUUGCCCAACGAAUUGCACAUCCGCUUGACUUGAUCCUUCUCUAGUUUCCACCAUGUUAACAUCACUGAACAACCUCUCGAACCCCUUAGUCAAAUCUCCAUCAACAUCAAUCAAUGAACCGGGAACCGUUGUUGUUGGGUGCUUUCUGGCGCUAGGCCUAAUAAAUGAUCUGGACAGCCGCGGGAUGGGCUUUGGAAGGAACCACGCCUUUUGCCUCAACUUUAUGGAUCUUCUUACAUCCGUAGCUAUAGGCUUAAACCCCAGAACAAAGGUAUCUAGGUUUUUGGGCAGAGAUACUGGUUGUACGAUGCCCUGCAACGAAGCACCCAAACCCUUGCUAGGUACAAAGCCAUUCUUCAACAUCUCAGAUGCCACCAUGACUGACACAGUUGUUACUUUAGGAACUAGAAUGCUUUUCCCCUCUGGGAUCUUUUCAAUUGAUACUGCAUCAAAGACCUGAUAUACCCAUAGCCCUUUGUCAUAUUCAACUUCAAUGAAAGGUAUGAUGGCAUCACUUUGGGCACACAUAUUAUCCUCACCGUGCACCACAAUUUCUUGUCUGUCCCAUUCAAAUUUAACCAUCUGAUGCAAAGUAGACGUCACUGCCUUGGCAGUAUGAAUCCAGGGUCGCCCCAGCAAAAGAUUGUAAGAAACUGCCAUGUCCAACACUUCGAAUUCCAUAGUGAACUCCACAGGACCUAUUGUCAGUUCCAGUAUUAUAUCACCUACUGAAUCUUUGCCCCCGCCGUUAAACUCCCGAACACAAAUGCUAUUCUUGUGAUUCUAUCAUUGCCCACUUUCAGCUUGUUCAAUGUGGAGAGAGGGAAAAUAUUCGCACUAGACCUAUUAUCGACCAGAACUCUGCUAACCAUAGAAUCUUUGCACUUUACCGUCAGAUAAAGGGCCCUAUUAUGCUCAGUACCCUUCACGUGCAACUCAUCAUCGGAGAAAGUAACUCUAUUUGCUUCGAAGAUUUUGUUGGCUAUUUUCUCCAAAUAAUUCACGGAGAUCUUAUCGGGAACGUUCACUUCAUUCAAGAUUUUCAUUAAAGCUUGACGGUGCUCAUCCGAGUGGAUUGGUAAUGACAAUAGCAAAAUUUGAGCAGGCGUCUUUCUUAAUUGUUCCACAAUAGAGUAGUCCUGUAGCUUCAUCUUCCUCAAGAAUUCUUCUGCUUCUCCCUCAGUUACGGCCUUUUUUACCAGUGCCGGAUUAUCUUUUGUUCUUCUUAACUCCUCGAGAGUAAAACACCUUCCCGAGCGAGUCAAACCUUGGGCUUCACAGACUUCUUCUUUGACCUCCUUCACUUUGUACAUCAUUGUUACUCGUUUGUAAUUCCAUGGAAUAGCCUUGCUGUUGAUUAUUGGUAACUAGGUUACCAGCUUAAUAAUAACCCGAUCUAUGCGGGCACCUUCCACGAUUAUGACGGGUUGGCUGACCGCUCCUGGUACAAUCACCUUUAUCCCUUCCUGUUUCAUUUCAAUCUUUCUCGAAGACCUUUUUUCAACUUCCAAAGAUGGCUCAACACUCUUUUUGCUCGAUUUGAGCACCAACUUCUCACCUGCUGAUUGUUCAACUGUCUUAGACCGAAUCAUCAUGACGGUCUGUGACGAUUUCCUGGGCUUUCCCUCCGCAUCCACUAUUUCAAUCCUAUUUGCCUCCUGGUGAGCUGGCAUUGGAUUCCUGUUAAUAUUGGGUGCCUCAGGACUUGAACUUCAAUUCUAUUGGUAUCAAUAAUCUCCUGUAUCGCACUUUUCAAGUGCCAGCACUUCUCUGUAUCAUGACCCGGAGUACCAGAACAAUACUCACAGCUGACAGUAUAGUCAAGAUUCUUUGGAGGAGGAUUUGGCAGUUUGGACUAUAUCGGCCUCAGCAUAUCCAGCUGUCUUAGCUUGUGGAACAAACUAGUGUAUGACUCUCCAACGGAGUAAAGGUUUUCUUUUUCCGCAACCUUUCACCCUUGAAUGCUUGACUAGGCUGGAAACUUGGUUCUUGUGGAUGUGGAUAAGUAUUUUGUGGAGCGGGAGCAUGCCAUUGCGUGUGGGCAGGAGGUUGGUUGUAUGCUUGUGCAUGGUGGACGGAAAAAUGAGGUUCUGGUNNNNNNNNNNNNNNNNNNNNNNNNNNNNNNNNNNNNNNNNNNNNNNNNNNNNNNNNNNNNNNNNNNNNNNNNNNNNNNNNNNNNNNNNNNNNNNNNNNNNNNNNNNNNNNNNNNNNNNNNNNNNNNNNNNNNNNNNNNNNNNNNNNNNNNNNNNNNNNNNNNNNNNNNNNNNNNNNNNNNNNNNNNNNNNNNNNNNNNNNNNNNNNNNNNNNNNNNNNNNNNNNNNNNNNNNNNNNNNNNNNNNNNNNNNNNNNNNNNNNNNNNNNNNNNNNNNNNNNNNNNNNNNNNNNNNNNNNNNNNNNNNNNNNNNNNNNNNNNNNNNNNNNNNNNNNNNNNNNNNNNNNNNNNNNNNNNNNNNNNNNNNNNNNNNNNNNNNNNNNNNNNNNNNNNNNNNNNNNNNNNNNNNNNNNNNNNNNNNNNNNNNNNNNNNNNNNNNNNNNNNNNNNNNNNNNNNNNNUCAAGUAGGCUACUGGAUCACCGUGCUCGUUGUAUAGAUCAAACUUGGGCAUCUUGAAGCCUGUCGGCAAUUGCACAUUCGGAAACAGAUGUAGGUCCUUGUAGGCCACACCUACUUGUCCUCCCAAUCCCCAUAUGUCCCUGAAUGAUUAUUCUAAGCUUUUGACUUUCCUGAACAUCUCUUCCUGUUCAAGAUUUUUGGAUGGUUUAUCAGCAUCUAUCGGGAAGUCAAAAUGAGGAGCAUAGGAAUGGGUUUCUAGAGCUUUGAAAGUGGGCUCCAAGGGGUAGUAGUGGUUGUCCUGUGCCUGGAACAUUGGCUUGCUAGGAGAUUUGUGAAGUGUAACUAUUGGAGGUGCUACGAAGACAGGAGUUACUAGUGGAUGAGGGUAUGGGGAUGGAGACUGUGGCAUAUGAGAAGUGGUGCCCCGGUAGAGUUAGUAAAUGGGAAAGCUCGGGGAUAGAUCGGUGGCAAGAUGAUCCUGAGGUUGAGCCGGUGGUGGAGUGAAGGUACGUUUAGCCGGGUAAGCUGAUGGCGGUUGUCCUUUAGCCCAGGCCUUACAUUUCGGCCAUUUGUUGUUUCAAUUUGUACAUCUCUUCUUUCAUGGUAUUGACAUCCAACUAUUCCCCGUCUCUCGAAGGAUCGAUGACACUAGUGUCUACAUCUGGGAUAGACAUGAUUAUUUCACCUUUGGAUCUGGUUUGGUAUGGGUGGGUUGCCAGUAUGCUUAGAUGAACUAAGUGCUUGGAUUCUGGUAACAACAACAAAACUUGUUAGUGAUUAGAGUUUUAACAAAUAGGCAACCGCACAUAGUCAUUUCUAUCAUGUAUUUGCUAGGUUGCUUGUGUCAUCCCGUCUUUUUCUUUUUAUGACCUUUCCCUUUUAUUAUUACUCACGCCUAACUUUUAUUCCCCUCUUUUCUUUUUCCGUUGUAUUCUUUUUCUUUUGGUUGUGGUCGAAUCCUGUGGAGAUUGCCUACGUAUCAUGACCCCGUAUGAAUCAGACCGAGCGUAGUUCUGGCAUAAUAAAGUGUAAUAAUGAAUAACAAAAUAUUUUGGGAUUUUCAAUUCUUCUCAUAAAAAGGAAAUUCUUUGAAUUACAACGAUUCAAAGCUAAAAGACUCAAAAAGGAAAAUAACAGACUGAAAAAGAAAAAGAAAGGUACAGACUAAAAAAAAUCAAGAAUACAUUAAUGCUCAUGGUGCCCGCAGGACAUCAUUCGGUCUCGCCGUGGGCCUAAAUGCGAGAUCCCCUUGCAGUCGCUCCAAAUCACUUAUAACUUGGCGGACGAAAGUCAUCACUGCAGCGAAAAAGGUGGUACGAGUCAUGUCCUCGCACGCUUGGCACUUCAUGGUAAUGUAGUCAGCGAUGGUCCUGAUCUUUUCUCUAAUUCUCCCUUUUUCCUGAAGCAACCGCCCUAUCUGCUGAUUCCGGGCUUCUAACACUUGAGAGUAAUGAACGUGUUGAUUUUGCAACUGCUGUAUUCCUUCCUCUAUCUGAACCAUCAGAUCAUAACAGUGCUCCCUAUCAGCUUUGAAAUCUUUAGCCUGCUUGACUGCCUCAUUCUCGAGAGUGGCUAUCUUUCUUCUUAGGAUAGUGAUGGUCCCUUCAUCGUUCCUCUUCAUUUGUUGCACAAACCGUGCCCGCUCUUCUGCCUUCUUUGUCCAUUUUGCCCGGAUUUUUGCUAGACCAGCUUUAGAUUUUUCCAGGUCUUCUUGACACUCGAGGGCUUUCUCUUUCAGACCGCUUAUGUGUCUUUUAUUAGCCCGACUUCUUUCCGAGUUUUUGGCAGCUAUUUUCAUCUUCUGGAUCUGAGCUUUGAGGGCCUCAUUUUCCUGAGCUAGUUUUUUCUUUUCUCCCUUAUCUGCAGCAGCUUGAACACCAUUUUCAAACUGAAGCUCCAUGACUCGCCUUUCCAACUGGCUUAUUUUGGCCCUGUACUCGUUUUUUUUGGUCAGCCAGUCCCAUUGCACCUGUGCCCCAUCGGUGAAUUGUUGGACAUGGGGUCUCUUUGCAGGCCUCUCGGGGAUCUAGAAUCUUUUGUAGAACCAGACAAUGUACUUAGGGUCCACUUCACCUCUAGCUAAAUCUCGCAUCAUGGUCUUAGGUUCAAGAAACCUACAUUCAUUCCAUAUCCGACGAAUUUUCCCUUCUAGAAAUGCGGCUUUUGGGCCUAGUUCAAUGGCAUAUUUACUCAAAUCUUCAUCACUGGGAACAGUUUGAAAUCUUCCUAAUUGGCACAGAACCCUGAAGGGAGCAUAAGGCGGGAUGCUCCGGAUGCCCAUUAAGAGGAUAUAACAUACUUCAGCUGACAUGUACACUACUUCGGUGACAGGAAGUCAUCCUAAUGCCCACUCAAUUUUAUCAGCAGUCAAGGAUCUCAAAUGUUUAACCCAAGCUUUAGUGCCUUCGGGGAAUUCAAUACCUGCCACUCGGCUUCCGAAUUCUUCAAUGCAGCUCAAACCGGUCAAACCGUAAUUCAUAUACCCAACCCGGUGGCAGAGAUGCUCUUGCAUCCAUAAUUGUAGCAACAGAUUGUCGCCUUGGAAGAACUUUCCCCCUUCCCGACAGAUAGUCAAGGCUCGGUAGAUUUCAGAUAAGAUUAGAGGAACCACAAUGUUGUUGGCUUUCUUGAUUGCAACAUCGAUCAUUCCCACAAAACCUAUCUCUAUAUUACCAUCUUUUCGCGGACAAACCACAACAUCCAAGAAGGUUACCAUAAAAGCUAAACCUCGCCUUGCCUUCCAUUUGUCUUUACGUCCGGCAUAGAUUAGACCAGUGUUCGGUUCUUCAAAACCUCGGGGGUUGCCAUAUCGAUGAUACAGGAACUGGAGCGUGCAAUACCCUUCAGAUAAGUUUCUGUCCUGAAUAUCUCGACUAAUACUCAGCAAAUCCAAAAAUCUGUGGGGGGAUACCGGUCUUGGUGCUAAUGGAUAUCGACUUCUAAGGUUUCCGUUAAGGCCCGCAUAACCCACAACUUCUUCCAAUGUAGGUGUAAGCUCAAAGUCAGAAAAGCGGAACACAUUGCGAGUCGGGUCCCAAAAAGGUACUAAAGCUUCAAAUAUGUCCAACCUUGGCUUGACAUUCAAUAGUCCGACGAGGCCUCCCAGAACUUUUACCAUUGUUUCUCUAUCUCCUUUUCCUAGAUCAUUCCACCACAUGUGGAGCUUUAAGGGGAUCUCAUUAAGGACUGUGAAGGGUUCAAUUUCGUUUAUGCUCAUCCUGCACAUUUAUUAAGGUGAUUAUUUUGACCCAAAAAGAAAAAGUAACACCAUUUUUCAAAAAAAAAAUUUAUUUCAAAAACAAACUCGGCUUCGCAAAUACGGCAUUUCAGCACUUCGGGGAAAAAGAUUUUAAGGCUGUGCCUGCUAAAUGUUAAAAAUGACCCAAGGUGGCUGCUCUUGCAAAAACAGCCUUCCGGCGCCCUUUUGGGGACAUUCCGCUUAUUUUAAACAAGAAUGGCAUCACCCGACUUAUUUGUGACACUAAAUUAAAAUUUUGUAUUUUGGCUAUUCUUGCAAAAGGGAAAGUUGGACCCGAUGAAGGUUGCCUACGUAUCCCACAUCCGGUGAGAAUCAAACUGGCGUAAUUCAGGACUAAAUAAAACUUAUUUUUGUAAAAUAAAACUCUUUUUUUUUCAUUUCAUUUUUCUCAAAAAAAAAUUCGGCUGAGUUUCAGUACUAUUUGGACAUUGAAUUUUUCAAAACAGGUGGUUUACUCACUCAACCCUUAUACCGCUAUUUUCCUUUCCAAUUUUUCUCUCAUCUUUCAAAAGUCGGUCAGCAUGCGAACCCAAAGCAAAUAAAUGCACAAGUAGUACGUGAAAUAUGCAUCAGUAUGGUCUUUGAUUAUGGGUACACCUGUCCUAGAUGGACCCAACCCCUGUGUUGAGUCCCCUAAGUCAAAUGCACAUGAUACAAUCAAAUUUUCCUACUAGGGAUCCGUCAUGAGGCUGAGUUAUUCUAGGUUUAAAACCUGGGUUUAUUGUUCUAGACUUGGCUUACCCGAGCAGACAACUCGAGCCGAGAAGGGGGACGCGUACCGAGAAUACAGAAGCUUCCUCGGCUUUGCAACUUGUCCGAAGCUCAUUCUAAAAUGGGAUAAGACUCGAGACAAAAGAGAAGCCACACGAAGUGUACCCUUAUCCAUGAUUUAGAAGACUCAAAAAGAGGGAGGAUUUUGUAGCAGUUUAUAUAUACAGUUCAACCAUAUCAAAGGGGUAAAAGCAACAUUUAGCAUAUUAAGUCCACAAACUACAGUAAUAUCAACAAGAAAGGCAAAUAAAAAUUGCAUUAACAAGCUUGAAUUCAUGAACCCUGAACCGGAAGUUCUGGGUUCUUAUCCCCAGCAGAGUCGCCAGAGCUGUCACACCUCCUUUUUUCUACCCACCUGUAAGGGAUAUAAGGGAGUUUUUCUAAUUAAAGGACAAUCGAAAUGGUAUUGUUUAUUAAGAGAUUCAGAGUCGCCACUUGGAAUAAUUUAUGGCAUCCCAAGUCACCGGUUUAAAUCCCGAAUCGAGGAAAGAUUGACUCUGUCUAACAGUCCGUGAACCAGAAAUCCGGGUAAGGAAUUCUGUUAACCCAGGAGAAGGUGUUAGGCAUUCCCGAGUUCCAUGAUUCUAUCACAGUCGCUCAACUGUUAUAUUCGGCUUAAUUAUCUUAUUUUAAAAUAUUUUUGAACCUAUGUGCAAAUUUUAACUUUUAACCACUUUUAUUCAUUUUAAAGAAGAUUUAACGUCGUUUAAAACAUGUCUUUGGAUCGCGCCACAUGAAAUGUACACGCAAUCGGAAACACAUUUUAUUCAACGUUGCGAGAUUUAGAGUUUGGUCACAUGAAAUGCACACCCUAGUUUAGGAAGGUAAUAUUAUUGAAUAUACGCGCCUAGAGCAACUACGCGUUUUUAACUUUGCAAGGGCCAUGAAAAUUUGCUAAAUGGCACGCCUCGAAUUCUAAGUAUUUUAAAAGAAAUAAUUAAGCGAGGACCACGCAUUUGAGAUUUUAUGUGUGGCAUGGCGCACCUCAAUUUAUUCUAAUUAGAGCGUUGCUAAACUAAUGCAUGAGGACCAUAAGUUGUUAUUAGUUUUGAAUGGCACACCUCCAUUAUUUUACAAGGAGUUAACUAAAUUAAACCACAUGGAACAAUUAUAAUUAUGAGUGCAAAAAUUUCAAACUCAAUGCUUAGAACUCGUAUGUUAACAAUUUGUGACAGCAGAUUGAAUUCAUAAAACCAAACCCAAGUGGGUUAUGGACUCAUAACCUACCUAAAUGUCAAUAAGCAAGAAAACCAAAAUAGACUUAAACGUAAAGCCCCGAAACUGCAAUGUACCCAGUAGAGGAAGUUCGACAAAACUGGGCCAAUGUUGUAGCCCAGUCCGAAACUGUGAGCAUUAGUUGCUACAAGAGAUCCAUGUUGAAAAAUGCAAAUUUAACAACCUAACUAUUACCAAUUUAUAGCCUAUUUCAUCAUUUUAAACCAAAAUAAGUUUCCGAUAUGUUCCCUCCAACUGCUGGAUUCAUACUAACAGACCAAAAUUCAGAUUCACAUUCCAUUCACGAUUUUAUUAAACUUCCAAGAUUGCUUAUGCGUAAAAAAAAUAGCAGGCUUACGUGAGAAAACCAAAACAUUGGACUAUACUUCAAAUCAUUUGCAAGAAAAUCUAAAGGAAUGAUUAAGAGGGAGAUAACAUUAAACGAAACUGCUGAGCCCAUAACACAAGCAAACCAAACUAGUAGCGUCCCAUUAUAUAUGUUAGGCUAGAAUGAAAUUUUGAAUAAGUCAUAGUCAAAGGAGACCUCAGCUCCAGCCUUAGAACAACAGAUGAUACCCAACGACUACAUCUAAGAAGCUAAACUAUAAUGGACACUAAACUAAAGCACGGUAAGGUCACAUAGCUAAGAAAUAACAAGGAAUUAGCACUUUGACAAUUUCUUCAACUUGAAUUAAAUAACUCGAACCAGAGCUUAGCUAAAACUUCAUUUCCAUUCAUGGUGUGAAGAAAGUAACUGGAUACAGCAAUCAAAACAGAAGGAAAGGAAAUGGUUAAGGCUCAGAACUACAGUCUACAACAACAAUGCAACAAUGAAACCCAAUUGCAAACCAAGGUGAUGCACAAUAUCCCAAAACCAGCUUCAAUUGAACAGAGACCCAGCAAAACUCAAAACCAAACUUUUACAAACCCAGAAUCAAUCCAUUUUUAAACACCCAAGUGAAUCAGAAGUUGCAUCAGAAAUUGAAAAUCUUAAGAAUCACCAAAAAAAUCAAUAGAACAAUGAUUUCAUCUAGUUUUAGCCGUCUGUUAUUUUUUCAGAAUUCUCUAUCUCUAAUAUCUCAAAAAUCAAACAAUUUCAGCCCCCAAAUAAAUCAAUAUGCAUUUCAGAAGUUGAUAAUCUAAGAAAUCACAAAGAAGCACUCAAUGAAAAAGUGAAAUUUUUGUGGAAUUCUUAGCUGUUUCAGAAAUUUCUAUUCUCCCCCGCUGUCCAUAAUUUUCAUCCUUUAAAUAGGCAUUCAAUUAGUGUCAUUCCCAUUAUCAAAUCACCUUUUCCAUUCUUAAUUAUCCACUUAACUUAAUACUUUUUACUUUAAUCAGUAGUGCAUUUUCAAACCCUACCAUUUAUUAGAAGCUUCCUAAAUUAGGUGAGAUUCACUUCAAACUACCCCUACAUUACCCCUUAAACUUCCGUUAAUUACUUUCAAGAAACCAGAUGGAUAUGGGUCAAUCUUGACCCAAAACCUAUCAGGCCUUUAAUGUGGGAUCAAGAAUAGCAUGAGGCCCAAACAAUCAAACUGAUCCAGGCCAAAUUCAGUGCUUUUACAAAAAGCAGAAGAAAACAAUCAUUUGAAGGGUUCGUAAACUAUGUCUAUUAGACUGAUUAACAACAUACAAACAUGAACUAAAAUCAAACGGACAAUUAACAAUUUCAAAUAAAACCUAAUUCACAUCUUAACUAAGUUUUUCAAAGACAAAGAAGAGAAGAAGAAGACACAGAGGUGGAAUAGGCAUUAAAAUAAAAAGAAAUGAUACCGGGAAACUCACCGACUAAGAUGGAAAUCAACUUGGUGUCCUGACUUUCCAAUUUCACCGCCAAAUAAUGUUAGUCACUUGUUCUUUGUCAAAACAAGUGAGUAACAUUAUUUUGUGACAAAACCAGCUCUAAAACUGGAACCAUCAUCAUCAACCUCGAGUUUUAGGUUUGGCUCUUGGAACCCAGAUUUGGGAUUUAAGAUUCGAUUGGUUUAGAACGGAUUUGAGGGAAAAUACUUAGAAAUUAGGGAGGAGGGAGGUAUGGGGAUUCCCUAGUGUUAAUUUGGGAUUGAUUGGAAGUGGCGCCGCCACCGGAGAAUAUUAGGGCGGUGCUAGGGUUCAUCCCUUUAAAUCGAUAUUCAAGAGCUCCAAGGAUGUUCGAAAGAAAUGAAGUAGGGGUUUGUAAAGGGGAGGGUGAGAGGAGUCUAUGGUGUAUUUUUGGGGGUGAUUGGGCACCGUCCGCCGCCGUGGACAAUUUCCGGCGGGCAGAAAGCGGCGGAGUGAGGCGAUGAUUUAUUAGUCUCUGAAGAGAGAUGAGUGAGAGGGGGGGAGGGGGUUCUGAGGGUAGGGUCUAAUGGGUUAGGGUAUACUAAAGGGGUAAUUAAAUUAGGGCCGUUGGAUGAUGAGAAUCCAACGGCCAUGAUUGAUCUUUUAACGAAACAGGGUUGUUUGGUGUAGCAACUAGGGCGGACUGGGCAUUGGGUGGACGGGUCGGGUUGGGUAUUGGGUGAAAGCUUUUGGACCGUUCGAUCAAAUUAAUUCAAAUGCCCAAAUUGAGACGCCUGGAACGACGUCAUUUGGUUUGAAGCUGGAGACGUACCGGGUUGGGGAAAAGUCUGGGCUGGUUUUUGGGGUGGGUUUUAGGUGUAUUUGUUCUAUUUUGUUUUGGGCUAGGGAUUUUUGGCCCAAUUCUAUUUUACACUCUUCUAUUUAAUUCUUUUCCUCUUCUAUUUAUUUCCCAAACUAUUUUUUCAAAAUAAAAAAUAAAAUCCUAAAUUAAAUUAUAAACCCAAAUUAGCUUUAAACAUAUUAAUUAACUCUAAAUAAUAAUUAUCAUAAAUAAUCAAAAUACUAAAUUAAAAGAAAUCAAAAAAUACAAAAAAAUAUGUUAUUUUUGUGAAGUUUUUCAUUUUUGUAAAAUACCUAAUUAUUAAUUAAUUCCAAAAUGUCAAACUAAAUCCUAAAUGCAAUUACAAUAUAUAUUUUUUGUAUUUUUCAUUACUAAAUAAAAUAAACAGGCACAAACAAUAUUCACACAACAACAGAAAAUGCCACUAAAAUCCACAAAAAUCGCAAAUAAUGAAAAAAUUAUUUUGUUUUGAAUUUUCUGGGAGUAAUUCGUAUAGGGCAAAAAUCACGUUCUCACAUUAGGUGUGGAAAUUCUGGUAUUCGUGAGGCUCAGAGACUGAAUGUUCUUGUUGGCAGACUAUCCCUUGAUUGCGAGUUGUGAGGGAAUGGAGAAGAUUGGAUGAUUAAUGGUAGGUAUUAUGGAAAGGUUGCUAUAGAAUUCUGGAAGGUUUAUUGCAUGUUCGAGGAAGAUCGAAAUUUGGUUUGGGGAUUACUAAUGAGAGUGUGUAUUUUGUAUCAGAUCAGACCUAUUUGUUUUGUGCAGUUGUUGCCAUGUGUAUAUCAUCAGGUGGAAUGGAUGUCAUUCACGCCUUGGUUUAUGUUAUAUGUUUCUCUCUUAUACUAUGGGGGGAUUGUGAGGAUAUAAUGAUUCUUUGCACGCAUACUGUGAUUCAGUUUAGACUUCAUGGCACUAUGGGCGAGGUGGCCUAUGUGAUGUUGAUUUGCUUAUUGCACCAUAGUUGUGCUUGUCCUUCUCAGUAUUGUUUGUUCCUAAUAAUUUUUCCCAUAAUUAUAUUUUUGUGCACUCUAUUGUGCUUGAUGUUGACGCACAUGUGAUCAGUGAGCCCGGGUAUAAUGGCAUGAAGGGUACCUUAUGUGGAUUGAUAUGAUGAGAUCGGGUUGCACGCCGCAACAGUACAAUGAUGAAAAGUGACUCCUUAUUUUUAUUUCGUGUAUUUUGCUUUCAUCUUGUUGAGGAUAGUGAUGAUACCCAGUUUUUCCCUCAUAUAUUUUAACAUGCAUAUAUAUUUUCAAAAAUAGUGCACAUGCAUUUACAGACAUGCAAAAGGAUUUCUAUAUUUUUUCCAUAAUUUUAAAGGCUUUCAACCAAUUUAUUUCUGCAUUUUUACAAUACAAAUAUUCAAUAAUUAUACCUCAUAUUAUUUUUAUGAUGAUUUAGCCAUUUAAAUACAUCAUUUUUGUCCAUAUAGUGUUUAAAUAUUUUAAUUGCAUUUUUUAAGGCUAGAGUUACACAUUUUUGCAAUAAUAGCCUAUAUAUAUGCAUAAUUAUAUUAUUUACAUGGAAAAUGACUUUUUAUAUUUUUAUAAUAUUAAGUAAUUAUUUUGAAUCAUUUACAUGCACAGAUGAUAUUUUUAGCAUUUAUAAAUCAUUUUAUAAAAUUAUUUUACUAAAUUAAAUGGGUAUUUAAAACAUAGCUUUUUUUUUUCAAAAUUUCGGACCUAGCCCAAAACUACCCUAGCCCACUUAAAUAUAACCCAUAACGCAAUCUCCAAAUAACCCAUCCCAACCCAGAUGGAAUCCUAGCCGUUGAUAUCAAAAGAUCAACGGUUCAGGAUCCAUUUCCUUUUUUAUUAACCAAACGACCCCCCAAGCCCUACCCAUUUUCUCAAACACCGCUGCUCCUGAAUUCCUACCUCCUAUCUUCUCUCUCAACCUCUCCCAAACCUUAGCCUACCAUCACCUGAACCCCUUCAAUCCAUGGGGGUUCUCUUCGAUCUUAGGCCCUAUCCGGCCUCUUAUCUCUAAUGGUUGUUCAAUCUCUUUGUUAUUUGAUGGAAUCUUAAAGGGAUUCGAACAAAUUUGGUUCAAAUUCCUCAAUCUUCGGAUGAAUCUGUCUGUAUUCACCAUUUGUUUGUGAGUAUUGUCACUUUUGUAUUUUCGUUGCUUCAAAUCUCCUUAGCUGGUAUGCCUCCAUUUGUGUUAUCAUGUCCUCUUCUAUAUGCUAUGUAGUUAGACUUCAACAUGAUUCUGUUUUCCCUAUGUCUUCCUGUUUACUACUCUCUUAACUAAUAUGCCUCAAUUUUUAUUACCAUGCUCUAUUCUAUAUGCUAUAUAGUCAGUUCACAAUAGACAUCAACAUGUCUCUGUUUCAUGUUUGUUUCUCUCUGAACUAGCAUACCUCAAUUCCUGUUAACCUACCCUAUUCUAUAUGCUAGUAUGGAUAGUUUACCUUAACAUGUUUCUGUUUGAUCCAUGAUUUCUGUGUACUUCUUUCUAGACUAGUAUGCUUUAAUUUCCUACUAUCCUGCUCUAUGUGUUCGUUUGUUUGGUUAUCUUAACUUCAGCAUGCUUCUGUUCAAUAUAUGUCUACAUGUUUCCAUAUAGUGGUAAUUAAUAAGCCAAAUCAACCUCAGACAUUUGAAACCUUGUUGAUUCAAUUGUAUGCCUCUAUGAUACUGCAAAUAUGUAUAGUCAGUUCUAUUUGUAACUCAAGUGCCCAUGCUCUUUUGUGAUUGCUUUAGUUGACGCAGUAUUCAUACCAAUCUGUUUGGAUUCUGCUUGUCUAUGUAGAAUUCUAUUUCUGUUUGCUCCUGAAGAAAGACUGUUUUCUAAAAAACUAUCCCCUACCCCUUGCAUGUACUACCCUUUCAAAUUUUCACUCUUAGCUACCUAGGUUCCUACUACCUCCAAUGUGAGCACUGCCUACAGUCCCUAAGACUCCUUUGAACUCUGACACAUUGGAGAUGGAUUCCAAUCUCUUAUGAAUCCUGUGUUGAAUGUAUGGGUCCAGUGUGAGCAUUGCCCAGGAUCCUUGAGGCUCUUUGGGAACUUUGACAUACUGGAAGCAUGACUUAAGGUGUUAUGGAUCCUGCCACCUAUGUAUGUAUAUCAGACUUGCUUGCUUGAAGGCAUGGUUUCCAGGAUUGAUGUUGGGCCUUCCAAGGCUCCCUAUAGUGCAAUGAAUAACUUUGUGUAGUUCAUUCAUAUUGGUGUAUAAUAAUAAUCUUCGUAAAAAUGGAUUUUGGGGUUAUUAGUAAAUGGGGGGUCUAUUCUUACGUCUCUGUUGAAAUUGGGUAGGAAUCCUGCCUAUAGUACUUGAUUAUGCUGAUUGCAUUAUGUGAUAUUUAGAGAUCCUGCCUAUAGGAUUUUUUGAUUGUUUGACACUAUGCUGCACAUCUGCAUGUUAGAAAUCCUGCACAGUAGAAAUCCUUUUUAUAGGAUCUACACGUAUUUUCAAUUCAAUACACAGUAAUGACCAUGUCUAUAGGAUCUUGUCUGUUUGAAUAACCAUUUUCCCGGCAAUGUGCUUAAAGAAUUCUGCCUACGCAUGAGUAAUAGAGAUCCUGCCUAUAGGAACUAAAGUCACCUAGAUACCAUGCCUAUAGGAAAUAAGAUAAUCAAUUCUGCAUAUAGUUAUCAUGCCUUAGGAAAUAUCAGUUUUGCGCUUAGAUAUCAUGCCUAUAGUAAAUAAGCAUAAAAACACUUUCAACACUUAGAUAUCAUGCCUAUAGGAAAUACAUAUAAAAUUAGGUCUUGACACUUAGACGUCAUGACUAUAGGAAGUAAGUGUAAAAAACCAGUGUCUGUGUUUAGGUAUCAUGUCUAUAAGAAAUAAUGCUAUAAGCAGUUUCAACACUUAGAAAGCAUGCCUGUAGGAUUUAAAGAUAAAAAUCUGCCUAUUAAAAUCAACAAUUGGUUUGUAGCUUAGAUGUCGUGCUACAGGGUUCCGCCCGAUUAUCACUUAGGCUGGCCUAUAGGUUAAUUAAAAUUCUGGGUCUAAAACUGUGAUUGCUUGUUUGAAAUAUGCCCGGAAUCAGAGUAUUAACCAUAUUAGCAGGUAAACCGAUAGGUACUCGUCUACUCGCUUUAAGAUUGUUGUAUAUUCUAUUUUUGUGCUCAUUUAGACAUCCUGCGUAUAGGAUCCUAAAAUCAUUUAAAAUUGCUUAAUUGAACAACGUGCAUUUGUUUGUCUAUUUGUGGAGGUUAACAUGAUCCCACUUAAUUGCUUCUUAUGUGACAGUCCUACUUGCCUUUUUCUUGUCGCUGAGUUUUCUCCUUUUAAAAAACAUAGGUAAGUCUAGAACCGCCUUAAAUAGAGGCCCUAAACACUUCCAGGGUCAGAGGUAAGGGACGUGUAGUGCAUGCAUAAGGUACAUACUGGAUGCUAUUAUAACACUUAGGUAAUAAUUUAAAAGGGGAGGGUAAUUGGGUAGUAAAAGAAAAUGAUGACCUGUGCGCUAAUGCUAUGAGUAGCACCCCAACUUGGGGACGUUUGCCAAGUAUUGCACAGAAGUGAUACUAUAGGCUAAAAAACCUAGGACCCCCUUUUACUCCUUGUUUUAAAAGUAAUAUCUAUUUGUUUAAAUUGCUGUAUUUCCUUGUAAGACUAAUUCGCUUAAAUUGAGUUUGGCCGGGACCCACCGUUGUGGACCUCGAGGGGUGCCUAAACCUUCCCCUCAAGGUAAUUUCGAGACCUUACCCAAUCUCUGGUAACGUGAACUGGUUUCACGAGUUAAUUGUUCUAGGUUCCCUAACGCACCUAAUCCAUUAGGCGGCGACUCUUCAAUUCUCAUAAACAAUUCCCAAAAGGAAAGGAGUUGCCCCGAAAUGUCGAAACUCGGACUCUGCGAGGAAGAAGGGGGCGCGACAGCAUGGCGACUCUGCUGGGGAAAUUUUUAGGCUCUUACCAUAAGAAACUUGUUUUUUGUGAAUUAGUCUUAAGCAUGCUUUAUUUUGUUAAUACAUUUGCACCCUUUCCCCUUUGCCCCUUAUUUGGAUUUAAUUGCCAAUUUUUCAAGCAUUUAUGAUUUUCUUUAUUAUAGAAACUGACUUAUCUCCUUGUUUUCUUUCUUAAACGUCUUUCAAUUAUUAAAUAUCACAUUUAUCAUUAUUUUUAACGCGCAAAUACGUGACAACAUGCUAUUUAUUGUUGCAUAAAUCAUACUCGACAUCAUAUUCCACUCGUGCGUAAUCAAUCCUGUAGCAACACUUGAUGAGUGUUUGCGCCCUUCCCAUAUAUCACCCUUUAAAUUCGGAAAAGCGUAUUUGCGGUAAAACAAAUCGAUCAACGGUGCAGUCGAUGGUUCCGUGCCUUUCCCCCUCAAGUUGUCCAUUUGAGGGUGCCGGUCUAGACCUCUAUAGAAACCUUACUCUGAUUAAUUGAACAUGUAUCAUGGUCAAACCUAGCUGGGUUAAUAUGUUGUCCACAUAAUAACCCUUUAAGACAAGCCUUGUCCAAAUGUACAUUAGGUUUUCUAUAAUCCCAACGAAUGCAACCACGAUUGUGUGCAUUAAUUUUGGAGAAAUAAGUGCCAAUAUGCUAAUCAUUGUUAUAUAAAUAGUCAGAUCUGGGGGGGGGGGGAAGGGCCUAACCAUAUUUGUUUUGCAGAAAAUUAGGCACAAAGUCCCCAAGUUCGGCAUGGUCCAUAACAUACCACCAAUGUUGCUAGAUUGGUGGGAGGAUCUUCCAUUAAGUGAUAAGAAUCAUGUGAAAAGGGUCUUGGAAAGUUUUCCUUCUUUAUUGGACCUCCAGCCAAACAACAUGUUAAUCGAAGCUGCCAUAGUGUUCUAGGACAAAGAAAAAGUCAUGUUUCAGUUUGGAAACAUAGAAAUGACCCCUCUCUUGGAAGAAAUAGGGGGAUUCGCUGGGCUACCUUGGGAUAGUCCUAGUUUAUUGGUGCUGAAAAAUCGCACUACUAGGGGGUUUCUGAAGAUGAUGGGAUUAAAGAAGUGAUGACUUGGAGUGCUUGAAAAAUUCCUACAUACCCUCCGACUUCCUCUAUGAACGAUACGGUCACAACAGAGCUUAUUGUAUUUUUGAUGACGAAUUCUCCAUCACUUCCUUGGGUUGGAUUCAUCGUAGAGUUUGUGUUCAUCGUCUGUUUCUUGGGUAUGUUAGUGUUCCCGAUCUAAGGGGACAUAAUCCACACCAGACUGGCCACAUAGCCAAAAAAAUGAUGGAUAGGAUCGAGGGGCAGACAUAUAUCAUUGUCCCUAUGAUCAUAGAAGACAUGUACCGGGCCUUAGAGCACUGUCAGAAGGGGUACAAAUACUUCGAAAGUUGUAAUCUGCUGUUACAAGUUUGGUUGUUAGAGCAUCUCCCAAAAGGUCAAUACAGUCAAGAGCUUCCGCGAAGGCCGUGGAAUGACCACAUAGCUUUCCAUCAUCCUAAGAGGAUGACUUAUAUCCCAGAUAGGUUUUCUCAACCCGAAAAUACUAUAGGAUGGGCGCAGUUUUUCAGCAAUUUGACUGAGGAUCAGGUUCAAUGGAUGUUCGAAUGGUUCCCUACCGAUGAGUUCAUCAUUAGAUCUAGGGGGUUGAGGGACAUAUACCCUUAUGCUCCCAUCUGGGUUAUGAGACAGGUAGGCAAGAAGUAGGUCAUACUGCGAGUUGCUAAAAUGAGUCACUACAGGGCAGAUUUUCAGGAUGACGACGUCCCAUACAAAUGUGAAGAUCAGCACAUGUAGCAUUUGAAAAUUAUAGUGGAUAAGGACACCAUCGAGCUAGAUCGAUAUCAUGCUGGUCAUGUGUACUUUUACCCAUCAUGGUUAGAAGAUAACAUAGCAGGAAUAUUCAAGCCAAGGGUUGGUCCAGGAAAUAGAUUCAUAGUUGAAGUUGCCGAGGCACAAGUGAAGUAUAACAAACUGCACAAAAGUGUUAACAAGUCCGAGGCCGAGCAUCUAGAGCGACACAAGACCGAUAUGGAACUAAUUAAUGAAUGGAAGGAGAUGGCUGUUAAAUCAAGCGAAAGGUGGAAUAUCUGGAGUACAGUCUAAUGGAAUUGGAUGGAAAAAUGAGGAAGAGAGUCACCGAUUGCCGGAACGCCGAAGGAAGCCAAUGAGGACAUCUAGCAAGGACAUACCUACUAUCGAUCCUGCGCGAAAUGGGGAAUUUGAUCAACGAAGCCAAAAACAUCUAGCCUGGAGAAGGUCCUUCUGGGACCAAGUAGAUUAGGUUUAUUUGAUUUUUCAAAUGUAAUAAGGACAAAUGCCAUCAGUGACUUAUCUUAUUUAGUGUCGUAUUAGAUUCAUGUAUUUUUACAUAAAUGAAAUGAGUCAAUUAUUGGCACUGAAAUUCUCCGAAUCUAUUUAUCGCUAGGCCUACCUCGGGUACAACGAGGCUCCCAAAUUAGGACGCAGAUUUACAUUCCUGCAAUAUGUAUUUAAAUACUGCAAACAUUUUUUGAAUCAUUACUGAUUAGUUUACCUUUUGUUUUUUUAUUUUUAUUAUUACCAUCCCCUAAGGUUGGUUCGCACAUACUGGCAUCAUCAGCAUAUCACACCAGAUCUAAAGGCCCUCCACGUCCUCUUCCUCCGAGUAAUCCAAAAAGCAGAGGAAAAGAUAAGAUAGAUGAUUUAAGUGGUAUUCGAAAAAAAAAAUGCUGAGAAUAUUAAAACUUCAGACGGUCGGAGUACUCCGGCACAGAAUGAUUUUGUCCUACGAUUAGAGCAGAAAAUACUGAAAUUACAAGGAGAACUUAAGCAGGCCCGCAACUUGGCAAACUUCUCCCUCACUCUGAACGUCCCAAAUGUUAACCAACAAAAUCUUAAAACCCAGCAACUCCUCAAAAUACGCCAAACCAAUGUCCAUAAAAUUCUCCCGCACCCCAUCAAUACGCCACACGACCUCAAAAUCCCAAUCCUCUACCGGUACCAACUCCUCCACAACACCAUAAUCAACCAACCAAGUACCCACAAACCACUACCUAUCACUCUCCUCAGAACACACCACAAACUAUUCCCGAUCCUCAAAACUCGACCAACGACCAUCACUAUACCCAAAUCCAUAGCACCCACCAAAACAACCCCAUAUACGUGGAAACCUUACCUCACUCUACUCAACCAAUCUCCUAUACACCAGAAUCCGCUGAGAAGGACCUGCUCAUCAAGAACAUGGCCGAGGAGCUCAAGAAGUUAACAAGUCGAGUUUAGGGUGUUAAAGGAGGUAAAUGGAUAAAAGUUCUAAACUAUGAGGAUUUAUGCAUACAACCAGAUGUGGAACUGCUGAAGGGUUACAAACCUCCCAAGUUCGAAAUGUUUGAUGGAACGAGUGAUCCCAAGGUUCAUUUGAGAACUUAUUGUGACAAGCUCGUGGGGCUCGGAAAGGAUGAAAGGAUUCAAAUAAGGCUCUUCAUGUGAAGUCUUACCGGAGAGGCCCUGUCCUGGUACAUAAGCCAGAAUCCUAAGAAAUAGGCUAAUUGGGUGAGCAUGGCAUCAGACUUUAUAGACCAGUUCAGGUUAAAUAUGGAGAAUGCACCAGAUGUCUUCUAUAUCCAGAACCUAAAGAAGAAGCCAACUGAGACUUUCCGCGAGUAUGGUACUCGGUGGAGGUCAAAAGUAGCCAAGGUCAAACCAGCAUUAGAAGAGGAACAGAUGAACAAGUUCUUUGUCCGGGCACAUGACCCAAAGUAUUAUGAAAGGCUAAUGGUUAUUGAGAAUCAUAAGUUCUCUAAUAUCAUCAAACUCGGAGAGAGUAUUGAAGAGGGCAUUAAAAGCGGGAUGGUGACAAAUUUUGAGGUACUGCAGUCUAUGAACAAAACAUUGAAAUCAGGUGGCAUAUAAAGAAGAAAGAAGUAGGGGCAGUAAUGGUGGCCCAAGGGCCAAAAUCUCCACUCACAUACUAAACACUUCCACUUACAUACCAACCCUCACCUCCAGAUACUUUCUACGUGCCACCGUGUAUCACACUUAUAACACCUAGCCAGCCUACUAUCAUUCACCUUAAACUCGUCGAAAUUACUAGAAACCCUGACCUAAUUUUGAUCGCAAACCACCCAGACAAUACACCGCCAUUUCUGAACCCAUCGACCAGCUGUAUGAAAGAUUAAAGGCUGCUGGUUAUGUCACCCCUAUUCCCACGGUGGCAAUGGAGAAUUCAUCUCAAUGGGUCAACCCGAAUAAAACCUAUGCAUAUCAUUCCAGUAUGAAGGGGCACACUAUUGACGAGUGCCGGACACUAAAUGAUAAGAUUCAGAUGUUGAUUGAUAACAAGGUCAUAUAGGCGAAGAAAGCUGCACUUCCAGAUCAUAGGGCGAAUGGAUCAAUGUGAUUGAAACUGAUGAGGAGUGGGAUCCUGAGGGAUCAAUUGGACUUAUCAAAGAGGGAGACGAUCCUAAAAAGCCCUCAGUCAUGCUCAAUCCUAUUGUGGUCCAGGUAUAGUUUCCAGUUGAGGUUGAGGUAACCGUAUUGGUUCCAUUUGAGGUAGAAGUAACACCACCUGCAGCCACACCUAUUCCAUUUAAGGUAGAAGUGGCCACACCUUUCACAGUGACAGUAGCAACCACACCUCCUUUCAAGUCCAAAACCAUACCUUGGGGUAACAUUGCGAAGCUAGGUGAAAAGGAAUAGCAAAGAUGGAAGCAUCUGGUGCCGCACAGGAAAUGACCAGAACUGGAAGGAUCUAUACACUCGGAAAUUUGGGAGGACAAAGCAAGGAGGCUGCUACCAAACAACCUGUCAUUGAAACAGGACCGGACGAUCUUUGGAGGAAAGUACAAGCGAGGGAAUAUUCUGUCGUCGAUCAUUUAAACAAGACCCCCGCCUAGAUAACCAUCCUAUUACUAUUGCAAAAUUCAGAGGCUCAUAAGAAUGCUCUGAUGAAGGUGUUGAAUGAAGCUUAUGUGCCCAACAAUAUCACCAGUGGAGAGAUGACCAACAUGGUAGGGCAAAUAAUGGAAAGUCACAAGAUCACCUUCCACGAGGAUGAACUACCGCCUGAAGGGUUAAGUCACCAAAAGGGCACUGCAUAUCACGGUACAGUUUGAUGACAAAUUCAUUUCCAGGGUCCUAAUAGAUGGGGGUUCAAGCCGCAACAUUUGUCCAUUGACUACUCUAAAAAGAUUGGGAAAAGAUUUCCAUGUGUUACGGGCAGGAAGUAUGAACGUGAAAGCAUUUGAUGGGUCUCAAAGGGCCAUGAUUGGAGAGAUUAAACUUUCUCUACGGAUGGGACCAACUUGGUUUGAUGUUGAGUUCCAAGUACUAGACAUAUCAGCUACAUACAAUCCUCUAUUGGGUCGACCCUGGAUACAUGUCGCUGGGGCCGUAGCUUCCACGCUACACCAGGUGGUAAAGUUCGAAUGGAACCAUCGGAGGUAAUCAUUCACGGAGAUGGAAGUAACCCCAUUUAUACCAGUCAAACUAUCCAGGUUAUCGAGAAUAGAAGAAGGCUGGGUGGAAAAACUUAUCACCAUAUUGAACAUGUCAACGCAAUUGAGAAGGACAAGUGGUAGAGUAACAAAAUAGAAAGUAUACUAGCAUGGUCUGGGUAUGAACCCGACAAAGGGCUUGGGAAGGAACUCCAAGGCAUUACCAAACCGAUACAGUUGAAAGGUCACGACACAACUUUCGGGCUGGGAUAUCCAUACACCUGGCAAGAAUAUGAUGAUUGGUCACCUCCAUGGUAUGGUCCUUAUUACCCUCUCGAGCAGCCAGUACCACACCUAAGUCAGACUUUUCACCUGGCCAAUACAAUAUGGGGAUCUGCAGAGGAAGAAGCUUUGGCUAGGUUGAGAAACUUGUUCCUGGAAGACGAGAAUAUGGAUUGCAAUGUGAUAAUUGAGGAGGAGGAGGAAGAAUAAGGCCUCACCAUUCAGACUGUGGAGAAGAGAGCUGUUCUCAAGAAUUGGAUUGCCACACCAUAUACCGGGCCCGCCGAGUCCUUUAGUACCUUGGCAAUUAGGCUAAUUUGUUUUUAUAGCCAUGCUAGGCAUUUAAGAUAUUUUCAAUAAUUUUGUUUUAAGGACGCAUUUUGUUUCUAAAUAAUUACUCGAGUCAUCGAGCCGUACCUAUUUUGGAUAUUUUAAAAUUUAAUUAACGCACUGCUAUUUAUAUUUAUUAUUAUCUUUCACAUUUUUUCUACAACAUUAUUAUUACCUUCUGAUGAACCGAUGACUAUGACAUGUAAUGAGAAAACGCAAUAUAAGGAUAGUGACUCAGAAGAAGAAGAUGAAAUACCUGAGGAAGUUGUCAGAAAAGUUGAGAACUUUGAGAACAAACCUAAGUCCAACCUGGACAAAGCAAUCAAUUUGGGAGACACCGAAACUGUCAAAGAGACUUGCAUAAGCAUUCACUUAUCACCGUUAGAGAAGGAAGAGUACAUUCAUUUCCUGAAGUAAUAUGAGGAUAUCUUUGCAUGGUCAUAUCAUGACAUGAUCGGUCUGAGAACAUCCAUAGUGGUUUAUAAGUUUCCUACCAAUCCAAUGUGUCCGCCUGUGAAGUAGAAACUCAGAAAGUUCAAACUAGACAUGAGUCUGAAAAUCAAGGAGGAUGUCACUAAGCAGAUCAAAGCCAAACUCCUCAGGGGAUUCGAGUACCCAACCUGGUUAGCCAAGAUUGUACCUGUUCUGAAGAAAGAUGGGAAAGUCAGAGUGUGUGUCUUUACAAAGCAAGUCCUAAGGACAAUUUCCCACUGCCAAACAUACACAUCAUGUUCGACAAUUGCGCUAAGCAUGAAUUCCAAUCCUUUGUGGAUUGCUUCGCGGGUUAUCACUAGAUCUGAUGGAUGAAGAAGACGCAGAGAAAACAAUUUUCAUUACACCGUAGAGAGUGUACUGCUACAAAAUAAUGUCUUUAGNNNNNNNNNNNNNNNNNNNNNNNNNAUCAAAUCCAAGAAGGCCGCAGAUCAUAUAGAAAACUUGAGAAAGUUCUUUGACAGGCUAAGGAGAUACAACCUAAAAUUGAACCCCGCAAAAUGUGGGUUCUUACAGAAAAGCUAUUUGGAUUCAUUGUCAACCGCCGAGGAAUCGAGUUGGACCAGUCCAAAGUUAAGGCUAUCCAAGAAUUACCACCACCAAAGAGCAAAAAGGAUGUGAUGAGCUUCCUAGGAUGCCACAACUACAUCAGCUGUUUCAUAGCACAAUCCACAGUUAUAUGUGAACCCAUCUCCAAAAUGUUAAGGAAAGAUGCUAAAACCAGUUAGAUAGAGGACAGUCAAAAGUCUUUUGACAAAAUCAAGGAAUACCUGUCUACACCGCUAGUCCUAGUCCCACCAGAACUUGGGAGACCUUUGCUACUCUAUCUGUCCGUAUUAGAUGGAGCUUUUGGAUGUGUUUUGGGACAACAUGAAGAGACAGGAAGAAAGGAGCAAGCCAUAUACUACUUGAGUAAGAAGUUCACACCAUACGAAGCAUGAUACUCUCUGUUGGAACGCACUUUCUGUGCGUUGACCUGGACAACUCAAAAAUUGAGGCAUUACUUUUAUGCUUAUACCACGUACCUCAUAUCUAGGAUGGACCCUCUGAAGUACAUCUUUCAGAUGUCCAUGCCAACCGGAAAGUUAGCUAAGUGCCAGAUAUUGUUAAGUGAGUUCGAUAUCAUCUACGUAACUCAAAAGGCGGUCAAAGGACAAGCAUUGGCAGACCAUCUUGCUGAAAAUCCUAUGGGAGGAGAAUACGAACCAUUAAAAAUGUAUUUUCCUGAUGAAGAAGUAUCAGUCGUAGGAGAGGACAUUGCUGAAGCCUACGACGGUUGGAGAAUGUUCUUCGAUAGGGAUACAAACUUCAAAGGAGUAGGAAUUGGAGCAAUUUUGGUAUAAGAAAUAGGUUAAUAUUACCCAGUAUCUGCAAAACUUAGGUUUCCGUGCACCAACAAUAUGACAGAAUACGAGAGUUACUGGUAAUCGGCGAUUCAGAUCUUUUGGUACAUCAGGUUCAAGGAGAAUAGGUUACAAUUAACACCAAGAUACUACCAUACUUGUAUCAUGUGCAUGAAUUGAUGAAGAGCUUCAUAAAUAUAGAAUUCAAACAUGUGCCCAGAAUUCAAAAUGAGUUCGCAGACGCACUGACCACCUUGUCAUCAAUGAUACAACAUCUGGAUAAGAAUUUUAUCGACCCUAUCACGGUGAAGAUCCAUAAUCAACCGGCUUAUUGUGCUCAUGUUGAAGAAGAAACAGAUGGAAAAUCUUGGUUCCACAACAUCAAACAAUACUUGAUAAAAGGGUAAUAUCCAGAAAACAAACCAUACUAAGAAACACACAUUGCGGAGGUUGUCCAAUCACUUCUUCCAAAAUGGAGGGACCCUGUAUAGAAGAACUCCUGAUCUGGGGUUGUUAAGGUGUAUUGACGCAAAGGAGGCUUCCAGAUUGCUUGAGGAGAUACAUGCCGGAACUUGCGUACCAAAUAUGAACAGUUUUGUUCUAGCCAAGAAGAUACUUAGAGCUGGAUAUUUUUGGAUGACCAUGGAAACAGAUUGCAUCCGGUACGUCCAGAAAUGUCACCAAUGCCAGGUACAUGCAGACAUGAUAAGGAUACCACCAAAUGAGCUCAACGCAACAAAUGCACCUUGGCCUUUUGCUGCUUGGGGAAUGGACCUCAUUGGCCCAAUUGAGCCUACCGCUUCUGACGGGCACAUGUUCAUUUUAGUGGCUAUCGACUAUUUCACAAAAUGGGUAGAGGCUGCAUCUUACAAAGCUAUAUCUACGAAAGUCAUCGUACAUUUUGUCAAGGAUCAAAUUGUUUGACGAUUCGGGGUUCCUGAGUCCAUUAUCACUGAUAUUACCACCAAUUUCAACCGUGAUCUAAUGAAAGCCAUAUGUGAAACCUUCAAAAUCAAGCACAAAAACUCUACAACAUACAAGCCUCAAAUGAAUGGAGCUAUGGAAGCUCCAAACAAGAACAUCGAAAAGAUACUAAGGAACAACAACAACAACAACCCAGUAAAAUCCCACAAGUGGGGUAUGGGGAGGGUAGUGUGUACACAGACCUUACCCCUACCCCGAAGGAUUAGAGAGGCUGUUUCCGAAAGACCCUCGACUCAAGAUAAUAAAAAGAAGACAAAAGGAGAGGAUAUUAGAUUCAUCAUGGAAAUCGUAGGAAAAAUAGGAACAUAAAAUGCAGAAGAAAAAUGCAAAGCAAAAACGGUGGCUAGUAAAUGGAUCCAACAUCAAAAAAGAAAAUAGUAAGACACGACAUUGCCCCUAGCUCUCUUAGACAAAACCCUACUAGACUAGGCUCACAAAGGUACAAAGUAAUGCAAGACUGAACUACCUCCUAGCCUACAACCGUAAUACUCGACCUCCACAACAUCCUAUCAAGUUUCAUGUCCUCAGCACGAGAAGUUACCCUUUUCCCUAUCGGGGUACCGUACCAUGGUCAGCACAUCAACUGGGAAAACUCCUUAUUUACUGGUUUAUGGUACCAAAGUUUUCAUUCCAGCCGAGGUAGAAAAUCUUUCUUUAAGGAUCAUACAAGAAGCCGAACUCAGUAAUGCAGAAUGGAUAAGGAACCGCUAUGAGCAACUAGCCCUCAUAGAUGGAAAAAGAAUGAAUGCAGUAUGUCACGGUCAGCUUUAUAAGAAUAGAAUGUCCAGAGCUAUCAACAAAAGGGUUAGACCGUGACAAUUCACACCGGGGCAGCUGGUGCUGAAGUAGCUCUUCCCACAUCAAGAUGAAGCCAAAGGGAAAUUUUUACCGAACUGGCAAGGUCCUUACUUAGUUCACCGAGUUCUAACAGGAGGGGCACUCAUAAUUGCAGAAAUGGAUGGAGAGGUUUGGCCAAAACCUAUCAAUUCAGAUGUAGUCAAGAGAUAUUAUGUUUAGAUUGUUUACAUUCAUUCAUCUGAUAUAACUGAACUACGNNNNNNNNNNNNNNNNNNNNNNNNNNNNNNNNNNNNNNNNNNNNNNNNNNNNNNNNNNNNNNNNNNNNNNNNNNNNNNNNNNNNNNNNNNNNNNNNNNNNNNNNNNNNNNNNNNNNNNNNNNNNNNNNNNNNNNNNNNNNNNNNNNNNNNNNNNNNNNNNNNNNNNNNNNNNNNNNNNNNNNNNNNNNNNNNNNNNNNNNNNNNNNAAACUGGGGCAGAAUUUUGAGGAGGACCCUCAAAAUUCCGGAACGAGUCCGGCCGGUGCCAUCAUAUGCAAGACAGUUAAGUGAUUGGGGCAGAAUUUUGAGAAGGAUUCUCAAAAUUCCAGAGCAGAUUCAACAAACUUCGUUACACAAAAAUGACCAAAGGAUCAUUCAUCAAACUGGGGAAGAAUUUUGAGGAGGACCCUCAAAAUUCUAAUGCAAGGAAGCCGCAAUGUCUCUAAAAGUGUCACAGUCAUUAGUUCAUCUAAUUUACUUGAUGUCAUAUACCACUAUAUUUUCUAAAAUAAUUCUCUUUCAUCAAUAAGUACAUAUUUUCGAAAAUAUUAUUUCUGUGACAGCUAGGUGUUACCCAAGGUAACUCGAACAGGGUCCCUAGAGCAGAGCAAGUAGACAAGAGCUUGAACCAACCUUCCUCUACAAAACUCAUGACGUUUCUUUGGAUGCAGGCACAGUGAACAUAACUGGAGUAUUCACAAAUAUACACAAAUCAAAGUCACUAUCCUUAUAACAAUUAGGCCACCUGACGCAAAUAUAGAUCCAGCUAAGAAAUAUUCUACUCCUAUUUGCUACUUGUUCACUGCAUAAGGCUAAGAAUUGCCUUCUCUUUGCAUGAGACUAAGCCCUGUCUCAAAUCUUGCAUGAGGCUAAGCAUUGCCUUCUCUUUGCAUGAGACUAAGCCCUGUCUCAAAUCGUGCAUGAGGCUAAGCCCUGCCUCCAUACCUGCAUAAAGCUAAGCAUUGCCUUCUCUUUGCAUGAGACUAAGCCCUAUCUCAAAUCUUGCAUGAGGCUAAGCCCUACCUAUAUACCUACAUAAGGCUACGCAUUGCCUUCUCCCUACAUGAGGCUAAGCCCUGCCUCCCUACCCGCAUGAGGCUAAGCAUUGCCUUCUCUCUGCAUGAGACUAUGCCCUGUCUCAAAUCUUGCAUGAGGCUAAGCCCUGCCUUCUUAUUUGCAUAAGGCAAAGCACUACCUUCUCGUGAGAUUAAGCAUUGUCUCCCUCCGCAUAAGUGUUGCUCCAUUUUCAAAUUUGCAUUAUCUUCUUUUCUCGGGGCUAAGCUCUGCCCCCAAACUCUACAUGAGGCUAAGCGUUGCCUUGUUAUUACCUUUGGCAUCAUGUCUCUACACUUCAUAGGCUGAUAUAUAGCCAACAUAGUUCAAAGGCAUCAUCCUCAUAACCUGAAGACACCAUGUCAUGGCCUGAGGAUCUCUCAAUACUGCACAUUAUCAUUCAAAGGCGUCAUGAUUCAGAGGCACCAUUUUCAUGGCCCGAGAACAUCAUUUCAUGGCAUGUGAAUCUCUUAUCUCAUGAUUCAUGGCCCGGGAUAUCAUGGUCUAAGAACGUCAUCUUCACUAUCCAAAGACAACUUUCAUGGUCCAAAGGGAAUUUGCAUCAUGUUUAAAUUAUUGCAAUAAUCUAUAUACUCGCAUGCAUCACGUUUUAAGUUCUGCAGGAAGUCCAGGAGGUAACCGUUCUUCAAACAGGAGCAACUUUCGCUCCGGUUUUCGCUUGCACCACUUACACUCUGCCAUUUAACCGAUUCCCAUCAAAUACCCACCUUUACUCAAUGACCGUUCAGAUAUCUGCCCUAUGAUACAUCCAUUACGCUUCAGACUCAUAUUCAUAACUUAGCAUAAACUCAUAAUACUAUCCUCCCCAAAAGGAACCAUCCGAAACAUACUACCAUUCCUAUAACAAUUCCAUCGGCUUCAUUCACCGUUGGGUACAGAACUACACAUGGUCUGAUUCCUCUAAAACCAUGGAUAUAUAGGCAGUUCAGAGACUAGGGUGUGGCCUCUAUUUUUCAAAACACCUCAUUCGGUUAAAAUCGGUCAUCAUUUCUUUACCUGACAACUCUUUCAUCCUUCCCGGGUAAAGAGGGGCAACUGUUGAUACCCAAAUUCUCCCUCAUAUAUUUUUAACAUGCAUAUAUAUUUUCAAAAAUAGUGCACAUGCAUUUACAAACAUGCACAAGGAUUUCGAUAUCUUUUUCCAUAAUUUUAAAGGCUUUCAACCAAUUUAUUUCUGUAUUUUUACUAUACAAAUAUCCAAUAAUUAUACCUCAUAUUAUUUUUAUGAUGAUUUAGCCAUUUAAAUUUAGCAUUUAUGCCCAUAUAGUGUUUAAAUAUUUUAAUUGUAUUUUUAUAAUUAUGUUUGCAUUUUUUUAAGGUUAGAGUUACACAUUUUUGCAAUAAUAGCCUACAUAUACAUGCAUAAUUAUAUUAUUUACAUGAAAAAUGAAUUUUUAUAUUUUUAUAAUAUUAAGUAAUUAUUUUGAAUCAUUUACAUGAAUAAAUGAUAUUUUUAUCAUUUAUAAAUAAUUUUAUAAAAUUAUUUUAAAUAAUUAAAUGGGUAUUUAAAACAUAGCUUUUUUUUAAAAAAAAUCGGACCUAGCCCAAAACUACCCUAGCACACUUAAAUAUAACCCAUAACCCAAUCUCCAAAUAACCCGUCGCAACCCAGAUGGAAUCCUGGCUGUUGAUAUCAGAAGAUCAACGGCCCAGGAUUCAUUUCCUUUUUUAUUAACCAAACGACCCCCCAAACCCUACCCAUUUUCUCAAACACUGUCGCCCCUGAAUUCCUACCUACUCUCUUCUCUCUCAACCUCUCCCUAACCCUAGUCUACCAUCACUUGAACCCCCUUCAAUCCAUGGGGUUUCUCUUCGAUCUUACGCCCUAACCGGCCUCUUAUCUCUAUUGGUUGUUCAAUCUCUUUGUUGUUUGAUGGAAUCUCAAGGGGAUUCGAACAGAUUUGGUUAAAAUCCCUCAAUCUUUGGAUGCAUCCGCCUGUAUUCACCAUUUGUUCGUGAGUAUUAUCACUUUUGUGUUUUCGUGGCUUCAAAUCUCCGGUCUAAAACUCAAUUUUUACACCUUCGUUCAUUUCUGUACAGACCUAGCUAUUUUUGGUCGAAUAGGUUUAGAUAUCUUUAGAUCUGGAGUGUUUGGGGUUUGUUUAACCAUUUUCCUUUAUGGUUUUUUCAUUUUUACCGCUAUUAUCUACCGAUUUCACUUUUUUCCUUAGAACUAAGGUUUCAUCUUUUAAGUUUUUGCAAAUAUUUAAAACAUUUAAAGGUUCAACCAUGGACUUUUUUCUUUACUACUCGACUAGUUUUCAUGCUUGAUGUUUCAUCUCUGUGUUUCAAUAUGCUUAAAGUUUUCCAUUAUUCGAUUAUUUGUCUCAUUGUUCUUGCCCGUUCACUUUGGCCUGGUUAAAUAAAUUGGUUAAUUGAUUUAUUUACCUAAUUAGGAUUUGAAAUUAUAAAUGACCCCUGACUUAUUUCUUACCUUAUUAAACUUCAAUCUUGCCGGUUAAUUGAUUCUCCCUAAUCUAAGUGAUAUUUUCCCGGAUUUUGUCAUAUUAAUUGAUUAGGUUUAGCCCUAAUUAACUAGUUGAAUGAUUUACAUACCUUAUUUGUGAGCUCUUAAUUUUCUUUGCCUUAUUUGUCAUGCUUUGCUUAUAUAAACCUCAUCAUUCUGAUUUUUUAAAGAUACGCUCAGACUCAGACAUCUAUACUUACAAGCACACACUGAUACACACUAACAGUUCUUUGAUUUGUUGCACUGUCUAGCUGGCUGAGAGCCAAGGCUAGACCCUUGGAUUUCAUUCGUCUUCACCUUCCUGUUUGCUAUCUCCUUAGCUGGUAUGCCUCCAUUUCUGUUAUCAUGUUCUCUUCUAUAUGCUAUGUAGUUAGACUUCAACAUGAUUCUGUUUGCCGUAUGUCUUCCUGUUUACUACUCUCUUAACUAAUAUGCCUCAAUUUUUAUUACAAUGCUCUAUUCUAUAUGCUAUAUAGUUAGUUCACAAUAGACAUCAACACAUCUCUGUUUCAUGUUUGUUUCUCUCUGAACUAGCAUGCCUCAAUUCCUGUUAGCCUACCCUGUUCUGUAUGCUAGUAUGUAUAGUUUAUCUUAACAUGUUUCUGUUUGAUCCAUGAUUUCUAUGUACUUCUUUCUAGACUAGUAUGCUUUAAUUUCCUACUAUCCUUCUCUAUGUGUUUGUUUGUUUGGUUAUCUUAACUUCAACAUGCUUCUGUUCAAUAUAUGUCUACAUAUUUCCACCUAGUAGUAAUUAAUAAGCCAAAUCAACCUCAGACAUUUGAAACCUUGUUGAUUCAAUUGUAUGCCUCUAUGAUACUGCAAAUAUGUAUGGUCAGUUUUGUUUGUAACUCAAGUGCCCAUGCUCUUUUGUGAUUGCUUUAGUUGACACAGUAUUCAUACCAAUCUGUCUGGAUUUUGCUUGUCUAGGUAGAAUUCUAUUUCUAUUUGCUCCUGAAGAAAAACUAUUUUCUAAAAAACUAUCCCCUACCCCUUGCAUGUAUUACCCUUUCAAAUUUCCACUCGUAGCUGCCUAGGUUCCUACCACCUCCAAUGUGAGCACUGCCUAGGGUCCCUGAGACUCAUUUGAACUCUGACACAUUAGAGCUGGCUUCCAAUCUCUUAUGAAUCCUGUGUUGAAUGUAUGGAUCCAGUGUGAGCAUUGUCUGGGGUCCUUGAGGCUCUUUGGGAACUUUGACACACUGGAAGAAUGGCUUAAGGUGUUAUGUAUCUUGCCACCUAUGUAUAUCAGAUUUGCUUGCUUGAAGUCCUGGUUUCUAGGAUUGAUGUUGCGCCUGCCAUGGCUCCCUAUAGUGCAAUGAAUAGCUUUGUGUAGUUUAUUCAUAUUGGUCUAUAAUAAUUCUCUUUGUAAAAAAAGAUAUUGGGGUUAUUAGUAAAAGUUGGGGGUGGUCUAUUCUUACAUCUCUAUUAAAAUUGAAUAGAGAUCCUGCCUAUAGGACUUGACUAUGCUGAUUGCAUUAUGUGAUGUUUAAAGAUCCUGCCUAUAGGAUUUUAUGAUUGUUUGACUCUGUGCUACACAUCUGCAUGUUAGAAAUCCUGCUAUAGGACUUUACGUUUAAUUCUGCACAUUAGAAAUCUUAUUUAUGGGAUCUGCACGUAUUUUCAAUUCAAUGUGCAGUAAUGACCAUGUCUAUAGGAUCUUGUUUGUUUGAAUAACCAUUUUCUUGGCAAUGUGCUCAAAGAAUUCUGCCUACGCAUGAGUAAUAGAGAUCGUAUCUAUAGGAAACUAAAGUCACCUAGAUACCAUGCCUAUAGGAAAUAAGAUAAUCAAUUCUGCAUAUAGUUAUCAUGCCUUGGGAAAUAUCAAUUUUGCGCUUAGAUAUCAUGCCUAUAGAAAAUAAACGUAAAAACACUUUCAACACUUAGAUAUCAUGCCUAUAGGAAAUACAUAUAAAAUCAGGUCUUGACCCUUAGACAUCAUGCCUAUAAGAAGUAAGUGUAAAAAAACCAGUGUCUGUGUUUAGGUAUCAUGUCUAUAAGAAAUAAUGCCAUAAUCAGUUUCAGCACUUAGAAAGCAUGCCUGUAGGAUUUAAAAAUAAAAAUCUGCCUAUUAAAAUUAGCAAUUGGUUUACAGCUUAGAUACCGUGUCUACAGGGUUCCACCCGAUUAUCACUUAGGCAGGCCUGUAGGUUAAUUAAAUUUCUGGGUCUAAAACUGUGAUUGCUUGUUUGAAAUAUGCCUAGAUUCAGAGUAUUAACCAAAUCAGUAGGCAAACUGAUAGGUACUCGUCUUGUUACGGCCAUAAUAUUACGUUGAUAUUAUGUCCGACAAUAUUAUAUUACGAUAAUGUUACAUCCUGCACUAUUAUAUUACGAUAAUGUUACGCCUUGCAGAAUUACAUUACGAUGAUGUUACGUUUUUCAGUAGUAAAUUACAAAGAUGUUGCACCCUAUAAUAUUGUACAUUGAAUUUAUCGUAAGGUAAUUGACAUCAAUCCAAGGAAAAGAUUAUUCAGACAUUAUAAGGAUUAUGCUAUUUCAAAAGUGAUGAGUAAAUUCGUAAAGAUGAGAGCGGAAGCAAGUCAAAGAAAAUAAAUUUUGGUCCAAGUUUGGCAUGUUGGGAUAAUAUACGGGCCGAGCGUUAAUACCCGAUAUUUAUGGACUAGUACCAUACAAGGUACCAUAUGACCAUGAUAGUAUGAUAUAUAUAUAAGGGAAUUAAAAAUAAGUAGAAUUUUAAGUAAUUUGAGAUAAUUCUUAAUUAUGCGGGAAAUUGGUUAAUUACCGGGUACCGGGACAUUACCUAAUUAAUUGGGGAUAUAUUGGAUAAGUAUGUAACAAGUAUGAGAUGGCAGCCCCUCCUUUAAUUUAAAAUGACUCAUAAAUCAUUACUAAUAGGUGGCAUGAAAAUGGAAAAGGUUUCACACCUAAGGUGACACCAAUUUUCCAAUGAGGGACCCACCUACGCUAAAGAUACCAAUCUCCAAAAAUUAGAAUUCACUUACUACACUUCUUCUGAAAGAGUCCAUGAACUUUUAGGAAAAUUAUGUCUCAAACUUAAUAGUCCAGCAAGAUGUUCUUACAUAGAAAUCACGUUCAAACAUUCUAAUAUGCAAAUGCAUAUUAUAUAACAUAAAAGCUACGCCCAUGCUUUCAAAUUAACAUGAGAUUUUGCAAUAUUAACGGAGUACGGUGUAAUAUUUCUCAAGACAAUCGACUCAGGUAUGUUAAGGCAAUCCCUUCUUUCUUUUGGCAUGAUCCAUACGAUACAAACGAAGCGAGAAAUGCAUAACUUUCACAAAUGACUCUAUUCAUAGAAGUAUUAAAAAUGCCUACGUUCUUGAAUUCCCAUAUGUCCUAUUAUUUUAUCCUCUAUUCAUGAGUCUCAGAAAAAUACGUAAGUUGAAAAAUUUUACUUCAUGAUAUUACUCAAAGACAUAAUGGUCUUAUGACAUUCCGAAAGAUUUUAUUAACGCACUUCUCAUGCAAUGCAUUCAUGUACAUUGACCCAUGACUAGAUGGCAAGAUAUACACAUAUAUAUGUAUAUUAUAUGUAUAUGGUAAAUGGGAAAAGGUUACGACGUUAUAUACGCACCAUCACCUGAUCAGCUGGUAUACGUUGAUUAUUUUGCCCAUAGUGGCCGAGAUGGUAUGAUGGGAUGCCCUCAGAGGCUGAUGAUGUUAUGAAACAUGUACCUAUGCUCGACACGACAUUCAUAUACAUAUGCAUGACACUAUAAGUAUUUCAUGAUUUACAAAGUUUUCCAGACUUACAGGUUGAGUUAUUUACUCUAUAUUUCUUCUAUGUCUGUUAUGUACUUAUUUAUAUGCCUUACAUACUCGGUACAUUUUUCGUACUAACAUCCCUUUUGCCUGGGGACGUUGUGUUUCAUGUCUGCAGGUCCCGAUAGACAGGUAGAGAGCCCUCCAACUAGGCUAUUAGCUCAGUGGAAGAUGUUGGUGCGCUCCAUUUGCUUCGGAGUUUCUUGUUUAGUUAGUAUGAUUUAGAUGUGUACUGUUUGGUAUGGUGGGAUUCUGUCUCGACCUUUAUGAAAAUUAUGUAUUCUUAGAGGCUUAUAGAUAGAUGUCAUGUACGUAAAAUAUUGUAUGGCCUUGUCAGCCUAUGUUCAGUAUAUGAGUGGUUAUUUUGGCCUUAUAGACACGUAUGUCUUAUGUAUAAAUUGGUAUCACAUGUUGUAUUCUACUUAACUUAUGGCAGCCUUCCGGCUCAGUUAUCUGUGAUAGUAUAACAUGAAAAGAUACGUUAUGUUGGUACUCAGUUGGGUAAGGUAUCGGGUGCCCGUCGCGGCCCAUCAAUUUCGGUCGUGACAAAAGUGGUAUCAGAGCAGUUCUGUCCUAGGGAGUCUACUAGCCGUGUCUAGUAGAGUCUUGUUUAUGGGUGUGUCGUGGACCACACUUAUAAGCAGGAGGCUACAGGGCAUUUAGGAUUUUUACUCUUUCUUCUUACUCUAGAUCAUGUGGUAGAGCUCAUUUGUAAGAAUUCAAACUCCUAACUUCUAUUUUAUUCGUAAUAAGACGAUACCUACAUCCAUAAAGACAGUUGGUAAAAGACAUGGCUAUGGGAGAGUUGAGUUAGAGGAACUCUAAUUUGCAUCAUGCUUAUGAUAAGUAAAUGUGAGGUCUUCAACGGAUCAUGUGCGUACUGAAAGGUGUAAGCCUCUUGAUAAUGAGUCUUGAGGCAAGAAUACCUAUCUACCUUAAUGGUGAAAGAUAAUGAGAGAUUCGAAAGAUAAAUACAAGUUUCAACAAGCAAAAGAAGUAAGAUGAAGAAGAGUACGAGGCGCCAGUUAAUGAAGGUUAACAAUGUUUAUAGUUCUGGCAGAGGAAUGUAAGCUUUUUGAGUUAUAUUCAAUAGUAACAUAGGUAUGUACAAUUGGCCGUACCCAUCUCAAUUACGCCCUGUGGGGGCCAACAAGUAUAGUUUAAGAAAAGGACGGAACAUCAGGAUCUGGUUGGGGUAGAGUAACCCAAAAUGGUGAAUGGAUUGUUUGUGUUAGUUGACAUUUUUGAAGGGUAUUACAAAUGUGCUAAUAGAUCUUCUUGUGAGAUACCCAGAUGGUGCACUCUAGAACAUUACAAUUAGA